RNAcentral lists this long non-coding RNA (51050 nucleotides) under Vigna radiata. RNAcentral describes it as "long non-coding RNA (VRAD_LNC004446)". Lineage: Eukaryota; Viridiplantae; Streptophyta; Magnoliopsida; Fabales; Fabaceae. The record is from RNAcentral.
CUAAUCUCAACUUUUAUCUCCACAAGUCUUAAGAUUGAUAUUCACACAAAAGAUAAGGCAUUGCGAGUCCUUUGUGAAACGAUACUCGGACUUACCGUUUAUUUAUUACUUGAUACGAUUCGGUACACUUGCCGAAGUGUUAACAAGUUUUUGGCGCUGUUGCCGGGGACUCGUGGUUAAACUUAUUGAGUAGUGUGAAUUGAUUGACUUUGACUUGUUUUCUUUUUGUUUUUAUUUUUUUUUUUUUGUUUUUGUUUUCUGUAAAAGUGCUUUUAGGGUUUUUCUCUUGUGCAUGCAGGAGAUUAUACAUACUAGAAGCAGAAAAGACUAGCAACUUCUCUUUGAAGGACUUCCAGACAGGAGAAGGAGAAGACCUAGACGUGAAAGACUUCCUUCUCCUGCAAGACGAUCUUUGGAGCAAACCUUUGCACGAAGUACAAAGGAGAUGGCAGAGCAACCUCCUCCUCCCAGACGUACACUUGGGGACUCUGCCAACAUUGUGGGUCAUUUGCAUUCGAACAGCAUAGUUGUGCCUACAGAUAAUGCAACAAACAUGGUGAUUAGCCCUGCACUGAUCCAGCUUGUACAGAGCAACCAAUUCCAUGGGUUAGCAAAUGAGAAUCCUUAUACUCAUUUGACUGCCUUUGGAGAGAUUUGCAACACCGUGAAGGCUAAUGGAGUUUCAGAAGAAAGGGUCAAACUUAGCCUGUUUCCGUUCUCACUUGGAGGACAUGCUAAAGAAUGGUUGCAUUCGUUUCUGGCAGGCACAUUCAGAGAUUGGGAGGCGGUGGCAAAACAGUUUGUCAUAAGAUUCUUCCCACAGACUAAAAUCAACCAAGGGCGCUUAGAGAUAUCCUCUUUCAAGCAGGGGAUGGAAGAAACACUUGAUCAAGCAUGGGAAAGAUUCAAGGGGCUUCUGAGAAAAACCCCAGUCCAUGGUUUAAACAAGAUGUCCUAUUUGCUUGCAUUCCUUGGUGGCUUGCGUACUCAGUCGAAGAUGAUGCUAGAUGCCUCAGCUGAAGGCAGUAUUAACAGAAAGACUGAGGAUGAAGCUUAUGAUUUGAUUGAAGAGAUGACACUGAAUGAAGUAACCCAAGGAGAAAGAGGCGCACAAAGAGGAGGAAUACUACAUCUUCCUGCUGAAGAAGCUGCAGCUGUGACACUCGGACAUUAACGAGGGCGGGGAGUGAUCGUCGGUGCAAGAAGAAUGGUGCAAGGGGCACGGACAAGGAGCAGAUCCUGACAGGCUUCGAGUGGAAGGGGCACAUGGACGAAUCGAACAUACACCGGAAUGAGAGGGAUCUGGAGAUUGUAUAGGUAUGAGACUAUACAGUUGAAGGAUAGCUUAAAGGAAUUGAUUUGACUACUCAUAUCAACAAAUGCAUUUGCUUUUCGGUAGCCUAACUCAUAAGAACUCCAUGGUUAAGCGUGCUUAGCCUAGAGUAAUUAUGGGAUGGGUGACCUUCCGGGAAGUUUUCUCGGAAAGUGUGUGAGUGAGGACAAAGCACACUGGAAAGCCUCGUGUUGAUGUGUGGGGGCAGUCAACAGUCCCUGUAAAGGUCACCUGUAAGUUGCUGAGGCGUUAUAGCAACUGCUCAAACUCAUAUUCUUUCACAGAAAUUGGACAAGCUAACAAAGGUCUUUGCUGAGUUUCCCAGGGGAGUACGAAAUAUUGCUCAAAAACUCAUCUUCUUUCAUAGAAAUUGGACAAGCUAACAAAGGUCCUUGCUGAGUUUCCCAGGGGAGUACGAAAUAUUGCUCAAGCCCAACAGUUGUGCGAACUAUGUGGUGGUGACCAUAUUAAUGGUCAAUGCGCCUAUCCAAUAGAGAUGGAGCAGGAGGUUAACUAUAUGGGCAAACGAUUUCAAUCAGUACCUUUGUGGCAACAAGUGAAUCAUUUGACAGAAACUGUUAGAAAUUUAACCAACCGAUUUGAUAGCUUCAUGAAAGUCUACGAGUCUGACAAAGCAAAUGAGCAAGCUAGUUUUAAAACAUUAGAGACUCAACUCAGUCAGUUAUCUAAAAGGGUGGAGAUCACUGAGAAAGUUCAGUCCCGAGCUGAUAUUGAAAUAAAACCCAAGGAUGAAUGUCAAGUGGUUCUAACAAGAGGAAAAAGGAAGUUAGAAAGAGAAGUAAUCAUUAUUGAUAGUAGUGAUGACGAAGAUGAUGAGUUGAUGAAUCACAAAGAGCAGACAGAUGUCAAAGAUGGGGUAAAGAAGGAGAAGAGUUACUAGGAGCAGUUUGAGGCGAAUUCAGGAAUACCAUUUGAUGAGCAUAUAAAAACUCCUAUUGCUUAUUCCGAUAGGAGUAAAUACUAUUUAGGAGUACCAUUUGAUUUCACAGAAGAAGAGGAGAUAAAUCUAAUUGAGCCAAGAAAGAAAGAUUAUCCUCAGAAAUUAAAAGAUUUGGGUAAUUUAACUCUCCCUUGGGUAAUUUUGUUAAUUAAGAAUUAAUUGUUAUGAGAAGAGGAACCUUUCACAUGAUGUGAUGAAUGGAAAGGUAGCAUAGAAAUAGGAUGUGUAGUUUGUCAGAAUGCUGCCAUUAAUGGAAUAUAAACAAUCACUUGUUGCAUUGCAUAUAUCUACGUACGCCAAACUUGGAAUUGUGCAUUUUAAAAUUUUGAUAUCCAUUUUACUUAUAAACGGAUGUUGACAUCCGUUUCAUCUUAAACGGAUGUUAACCAUUCGUUAACGGAUAUCUAUAUUCGUUUAAAGAUUUUUAUAUUGUAUACGAGAGUAAGUUUUAACCUUAAAAAUGAAAAGAUAAAUUAGGAAUAGAAAAUAUAGAAUGAGAUGCAGAAUAAGAAGGGGGAGGUGGAGGGAGAAAUUGGAGAGGUGUAGGGAACAACGCCCCUUCUCGAAAUAGGUAAGAAAAUAAUCCAUAAUUCAUACCGUGACAAAUGGCCCAGUCUAAUAUCAUUACCCAAUAGAAGCCGAUUACUGUAUUUAUAUAUAAAUAUUAAACACUCACACAAUGUAUAUAGAACAUUUUUAUAUUUCCUCUAAUAUUUCUAUUUUAACGUUUUCUUUCAACUGUUUUAUUAACUAAUUGAAAUCUUAAUUUUAAAUUUAUUGUUCCGAAUUCAAAGAUGCAGUUAGAAUUUGAAAUUCUGUGAAACAUAAAAAAGUUGAAUGACUCCGAUAUAACUUUUAAAAUAUAUAAUUUUACCCAAUAAAUUAAUUAUAUUCUGUAUGGCCAAAGGUGAUAUUAAUUAUGGUAUCAAAGUAGCAUGAGGUGGCUACUUAUACUUUUCAUAACAUAGCACACAAACGUAGUCACUCACAGUAAUUGCUGUACUUCAAUUUCACACAGCCCACAACUUCUAAGCACGGAAAUGGAGAUGAAGAGGAAGUGGGCUAGACAAUAAUGAAUUUGUACGUUAUACGGCGCCAAUUAAGAGGGUGCCAACUUCUUCGUCAUCCUCUCUUAUAAAACAGUAUGCAUUUGCACUUAUUUUUUCAUCCUUUAUUGACAGAUAAUCCCGUUUGAGUAUAUGUAUCAUAUAUAGUUUACCCUAGAAAGAUGGGUUCAAAGACAAAGAUAGCGUUACUUAUCCCAGGUCUGUUGGCCAUGUUCAUUUCGAUUUCCCCAAAGGUGGCAAUGGCAGCUAGGAAUUUUGAAGAGGGUGAGUUUUAUAUCAUUUUCUUUCCCUUCCCCUCCUAUCACUCUCUUCCCUCAAAAGUGUGUGUAUAUAUAUUUGCGAAAUUCAUUUUUCUGUUUAAUAUGGUUAGUUGACUUAAGUUAGUACUUGCAGAAAAAUCUGUUGAAGAGAGAAAUGAAGCGGGUGAUGGCAGAUUAGUAAAUGAUGUUAAAAUCCCAGACAUAGUUAAUAGAGGUUUUGGUGGCAUUACAGGCACUGGCAUCCCUGGCACUGUUGGGAUAAUCCCAGGCACUGUCGGUAGCAUCCCAGGAAUUGGUGGUAUAUUCCCAGAUAUUAUCGGUAUCAUCCCAGGUAUUAUCAGUGGCAUCUCGGGUAUCAUCCCAGGUAUUAAUGGUUUCCUCCCAGGUAGCGGCGGUGGCAUCCCAGGCAUCGGCAGCGGUGGCAUCCCAGGUUUCGGCAGUGGCAUCUCAGGCACCGGCGGCGGUGGCAUCCCGGGUACCAGUGGUGGCAUCGGAGGCAUCAGAGGUGGUAUCCCAGGCAUCGGUGGUGGCAUCUAUAGUGGUGGCUAUCCAGGUCAAAGAGGAUAUAGAGGAGGAUUUCGUUGCCCUUAUGGCUGUUGUGUUUGGACUGAUGGAUAUUGCACAAGUUGCUGCACGAUCUGAGGAUUUCACCCACAAAUAAGAUAAGACAGUGUAGUUCUAUUUUUUUUUUUUUUCUUUAAUCAGCCAAAUAAAUUUUAUAUAAUGUGCAGUUCUAAGUACUUCAUAUUCUAUGAUUAAAAUUUCUUGUUGUGUGCGAGAGGCAUGAUGGAGAACAAGGAGCCUUGUGUUUUCCUCUAACCUUUCUUAUCAUAUGGAUAUUUCACAAUUAAAAUCAUGUUUAAUAAUUUGUAGUAUUGUUAUAAGUUUUACCUCAGACUGAAAUAUUAUGUAGUUUGUGACUUUACUUCUGUUCAUCUAUAUAUGCUAUUAUAAGUUUGUCUUUUUUUUUACAAAUCUUUAAAAUAUAAAUUUAGAUAAAAAUUAAUUUAUAAGUAUAAUUUAAAUUAAAUUAAUUAAUAAAAUAUCAAAAAUAAAUUUAAUCUUGUUAUAAAGUAAAUUAAAAUGAAUUUUAAUAAAAUAUAAAUUUUAAUAAAUAAUCUCAAUUUCAUGUUUGACUAAAAAAUAGAAAUAUAUAAAAUCAACUUUUUAACAAUUAUUCAUUAAUUAAUAUUUCUUUUAUUAAUAAUUUUAUUUUAAUUAAUUAAAUUUAAAAAAAUAUGUAAAUAAAAUUUAUUAAUAAUUAUUAGUAGAAAGUAAAUAUUCUAGGAUGGGUCAAUAUUAUUAUGAUACCUUUAUCCAUCCAAUUAAGAAAGGGAUAAUGAAGUAUAUGUUAUAGUUGAUAGCCAUGUAUCAAACAUCAAACAAUGAAUGCUACAUCCCAAAAAUAAGAAGAACCGUUGAGUAUGGUAUCAAGAAAUGCUAACUUUUUUGGAGAAACCUAACUUAUUUCAUAGGCUGAAUUGGCAAGUUCGAAAUUCAUUGCAACUAAACAGAAAAAUAAGAAAACAACCUUUCAAGUACUGCAAAUUUGAAAGGAUAACAAAAUACUCAUAAAUUAGGUCGGAAUAAGUGGACAGAGAGUGAGAAAGUUAUGGGUAUUUAGAUAUAAUCGAGCAUGAAAAUCGAGACCAUAAGUGACACGAUAAAUUUAAAUUAUUAUAAACAAAAUAUAAUCGGAAAGUAUAGCAAAAGUGCUUGUAUAUAAAUGCAAAAAUAAAUCUUUCAAGAUUAACUUACUAAUAAAAAUUAAAUAGAAAGUGAAAGAAAGAAAUUAUAAGUUCAACUCUUCCAUUAAUAUUAUAAUAUUAAUUGAUAUUCGUUGAUAAAAAAAAUCUAUAUUAAUGAAUUAUUUUAAGUAAUAAAAAUCUUGAUGAUAAAAAUCAAUUUAAAAUCUAAUUCAUAAUUAAUUAUAAUUUAUUAAUAAUAAUCAUUAUUCAAAUAUUUCCUUAUAAUAUCAUUUUAUCAAUAAGGGACCACUACAAUAAAAAAACUAAAUUACAUACCGACAAAAGCCGUAUAUAAAACCAAAAAUUCGUAUAUAACACUUAAUUACAUAUGGAUAAAAAUCUGUAUAUAAAAUUGUUGUAGCAAAAUUAUAUAUGGAUGUAUCCCUAUAUAAUUUAUAUACGGAUUUUUUCGUAUGUAACUACAUACGAAAAAAUCCGUAUGUAAAAUCCAUAUGUAAUUAUAUAUAAAAAAUUUUGUAUAUAAUUAUAUAUGAAAAAAUUCGUAUGUAACUUUAUGAUUUUAUAAAAAAAAAAGACGAUUUCACAUCUAUACCUAAUAAUUAACAGUUUCAUAUAAAAGUCAAAUAAAAUUGACAAAUUAUAAAAAAUAAUAUCAAAUAUUUGUCGAUUUUUAUUAAAAUGUAACAAUUAGUUACAUGUACAAUUCAUAAUAGUAAAUUAAACUACUUAUAGUUACAGGUGAAAAGUUAUCUAAGAAUUGUUUUACCAGUUUUACCAGUAUUUGAAGCACCAUAAUUAACCGCGGAUAUGGUCAGACAACCGCGGCCUAUUCCCCUGUCAAUUUAUUGCAGGGGCUGACUGAUGGGGAAUGUCAGGAGGUUACAGGGGGAGUAGGCCGCGGUUGGUCAGAGAACCGCGACCUAUUCCCCUGUUAUUAAAUUUUUUUUUCUGACGUGGCGACAAAGGGGUUGGUUGACUGGGGUAUAUGCCGCGGUUAAGUGGGGAACCGCGGCAUAUAAGUUCGAUUUAUUUACAAAACUGCCACCGCGCAGCAUUAUGCUGCGGUUUCGGGUGAACCGUGGCAUAAUGUGCGCUGUAUAAUGCUUUUUAUUACUAGUGUAUGGAGACGAGAGAGAAACAAAUUGGAUAAGUGAGGAAGGUGAAUUAGGGUUAGGCAAGAGUUUCUGAUUUUUUUUUUUUCAAUUGAGGCAACAGUAGGAUGACAGAAAAAAUGUUGGAGUGAGAGAGAUGAAAGAGAGAGGGUUGAGAGGAAUGAGGGAAGUGAGUAAGGGUUUGGGGGUUUCUUUUUUUUUUUAGUUUUGAGAAUGAAAAUUAUUUAAAUAUCCUUGACCUUAAAACUUAGAAUCCAUGAUAAAUGAGGGUAUUUUUGUCUACUAUAAUCCGGUAAGUAUUGUUAAAACGUACCAACUAAAAAACAGACGUAUGCGUGUUAACAAACCCCAUAUAUAUAUAUAUAUAUAUAUAUAUAUAUAUAUAUAUAUAUAUAUAUAUAUAUAUAUAUAUAUAUAUAUAUAUAUAAUUGAAAAUAUAUACAUAAUAAUAUAAUAUAAGUCAGAUAUAUAAUUAUACACAACAUAUACAUAAGAUUUAUUUUAAUAAUAAAUUAAUUCAAUAUAAAAAUUAAUAAUAAAUUAGCGUUAAGUUAAUCUUACCAUAACAUCCGUUUCUAAAAGUCAGUGAUAACUAGGCUUCCAUAAUUUUCCUGUCCCUUGUUUAUUACGUAAGACCCACCAUAAUUUUAAGGAAAAUGAUACUUUGACAACCUCGGUGACAAAUUUUUGACACCAAUAACGUGUCAGCUUCUCAUUGGUUCACCCUUAAAAAAAUAAAAAAAAUUAAAUGACGUGGAAAAUGAAGGACAGUAGCAGAAAUUGGAAGGAAACAUUUUUGCGAAAUUCAAAUUCAUUUUCAAACUCCGAGAACUAAACCUAGAGAGAGAAACUCUCCCUCCCAACGACCAAAGCCCCUUCACGACUUCACCGUCGUUCGCCGUUCAAUGGCCACCGGAGGUCCACCCAGAGGCGGCGCCGCCGAUCAUCUUUGCGUCUCUUCCUCCCAGCGAGAAAAGCUUCGAUCCAUUUCCACCGCCAGUCGCCCUUCAACGGCCACCACCAGUCGCUGUUCAACGGCCACCGUCAGUCGACAGAAGCUUCCACCAUGACGCUCCGAAAACGCUGAUUACUCGCGUCUCUUCUCACUCGUCGCGUCUCUUCCCACUCGUCGCAUCUCUUCGCACCGCCCUUCCUGUUGUCUCCUUCCGCCGGCAUAUCGUGAGUAUCUUAAUGUAUACUAAAUAUUCUCUUUUGACCAUGUUGGUGCGUGCUGCUAGAGAAAGUUAUAUGAGUUAAACUCUCUAUUUUGUGAUAUUGGGCCUAUUGCGUUUUAAAUCUUUGACUAACAUAUAUGAUGAAGUGAAGUGAACAUUUUCCCCUUGCUUACUGUGAGUACCUGUUUGAUUUGUUUCUUUAUGGUGUUUUCGGAUUUUAAUUUUGAAUGUAAUUACCAACUUCAUUGUAAAGUUGUGGAGAUGUGUGAAGCUAAAAAUUGAGCUUAUGUAGUUAGACUAUGUCAUACUCUCAGAAGUUGGUAGAGCAUUAAACAAGUAGUGUUGGGCAUAUACUAAGUAAUUAGUAGUAACAAUUUCAGUGAACCUAGAAUUUAUCCUUUUUUUCUGCUGAAUUGUUAUUAUUUGAAACAAAAGUGCCAACAACUAGAACAGAGGCUUUUAUGCUCUUUUAUGCUCUCUCUUUGUUUCAAUGUAAGGAGAAAUUUUAUCUUAAGUCUGGUACUGCCGCAGUUGAUUUUAUCUUGUUGUCUUUGAAAUUUUUUUGCUUACUCCAAUUCAUAGCUGAUAACUUUAUCAAUUUUAUAUGUUGCUCCUCUGUUCUUCCAAUUUUUUUUUUUACAAUAGGUGUUGCUUAACUGUAGUAUGUAAAUAGAAAAUCUGAAAUCCAAUGUCUGUUUCUUAUAAUGUAAAGGAGAAGGACACUGGUUAUAGGAGUAAAUUCAUACUUGUUUUUAAAUUGCACAAACAAAUGUUACUUAUAUAAACAUAUUUUCUUAAAAAAAUAUAUAUAAUAUAAAGAACGUAUAAAACUUUCCUUCCUUAGUGUGUAAAAUAUUAUUUUACAUUUCGUAUAUAAUCACAAAUUGAAUGGUGCAUCUUUUUGUUUGUAUUUAGGAUUCGAAUGUCCUUUUCUGAUUAAGAUAUUUUGGAGAAAAAUAUCUUAUUAUAUAUGUCCUGUUGAAGGUAAUUUUUUCAAAUUAAUUUUAUAUAUUCUAUAAAUAUUACUAAAUCUUCUAAGGAAUGAAAUUGAAGAAAACCUUUUUCAUCAUUCACUUUUUCACAUAUAUUAUUGCACAAAUUAUUAAAUCCUGUCAAUUACUCUUAAAUUAGGUAUAAUUACCAUCAUAUAGCAAUUUUAUUUUCACUUAAAUUACGACAAAAAUAUGCCACAAUAUUCAGUUUGAAUUCAUAAUGUAUUUGUAUCAGAGAUCUGGAAAAAAAAAUUAUGCAUGUUUAAAUAACAUAAUUAUAGUUUCAUAAAAAACCUAUAGAGUAUAAUAAUUACAAAGAAAGUUAUUUUGAAAUAGGUAGUCAUGUGAUGGAGUGAGAGUUGAUAUUUGGCAGCAUGUUAUGGUAGGAAGGGAGUGAGUUGGAGAUUGAAGAGCCAUUGAAAUUGGAUAAGCUAUGAAGUGUAAGAUAAUAUAAGGUAGAGAUUUCAUGAAACAAAUGCUGCAUCCUCCAAAAAUAUCAUACCAAAACAACGAGGGAAUCAAAGUGGGUUGUUGCAUCCUCUCGCUUUUACAUCUCCUCAAAGUAUUGAUUAGGUUCAAUGAGAACUAAAAUACAAUAGAUGGACUGAACAACCAUAUGCUAGGUUGAGUUAUUGAACUUAAUUUUUAAGUGGUACAUUGAAAUCUUUGUCAGAGCAUCGUCUUCUUUUAAUCAAAGCUGGUAGACUGAUUAUAUGGUUAAUAGUUUGUGUUAAUCAAGGUUAUGGUUAAAUCUGCUUUGUAACAGAGCAGAAGUUGACUGGGAUGCUUCCCAGCUCCUCCUACAAUUAAAGGCCAAGGAACGAACAAAGACAUAUAAGAAGAUUUUUGGAGCAGUAGUGCUUUGGAAAUAAAUCUGAGGGCAUUUGAGUCCCAGAAAAGCAUCUCAUCAAUUAUCAUACCUUCUGAUCCUCAAAGUAGCUCUGGCAUUCAUAUUGAUUCUCCUGAAUAUGUAAAUGAUGGCAAGUAUUUUGUUAUAUUCAACUUAUCUAUAACCUUUAUUGCCUUAUUGGUUAGUCUCAUUAUCUAAUGGUGCUUUUCAUCUUUUAUGACCUUGGUAGUAGCCAUUUAUCUGAUGCAAAGACAAUCUUGGCAGAAGUGUUUAGAGAGUCGCGCCAGACUUAUUUGCUAAUUGUCACAUGCCUUAGUAUUUACAUGGAAUUUUCAUUUUCAAAACCCUCACCCUGUAGGGACAGUUACAAUUCCAAUGUCUUGAAAUAGCUUGAAUUCCACACUUUUAUUCUGGUUCUGCCAUGCAACUUUGACUUUAAGAUUUUGUUUUACUUUUUAUUCUCUUGUUUCUCUCUCUCAGGCAGUGAUUGUCUACUCCUUUAAUUUUGUACCUUUUCUUGUAAAUUUUGUUUUCUUUUAUGUUGAUUUAAUCUCUUUAGUUACAUGUAAUGGCUAUGGGACUUUAAGUUCAAAUCUAGUUUUCUCGAUUUCCCUUUAUCCACGUCGUUUCUGAUUUUAUUUUUAUUUUACAGGAUUUCUUUCAAUCUUGCAUUUUUUUACACUUUCUUACAUAUCUCGAGCUGAUUAUUAUUACAUUAUAUGCAGGUCUUAUUCUCUGGAACCAAAUGAGGCGACACUUGGGUUAGAAAUAAAAGGCCUCAGAAUAAGAAAGAAGUUAGAGAACCACAAAAUAAGGUAAAUAAAUAUACAAACAGUUUUUUAAUUAAGCAUGAUUUCUAACUUUGAUCCCUUGAUUUUGAUGGGCAACUCCUAUUUCCUUAAAUAUUGUUUUGACCAAGAAAUUAGACUGUCCGAAAUUUAACAAGCAUUUGCCACAGCUGAGAAAAGAGCAUUGUUAGAUAUAUAAGCUUUCAUCUUUAUGAUGUUGUUGUCUUGUGUUGUUGUUAGCAUUAUAUGAUGCAUGUAAGAUACAUAAGUUUAAACUUGUGUGGUUGAAAAUUUUCGGCAUUAUGUCCUUAAUAUGUUUGUUCACCUUUUUUGGUGUAGUGUAAUGGAGGAAGUUGGUCAAAAGACUGAAUGUGGGAUUGUAUUACAUUUGUAUAGAUUUGUUGUUGUUAUGUAUUUAUACUAAAAGAAGCUCUUGAAAAAUAUCAUGUGUCAUUGAACCAGCAAAAUAAAGUAGAUAAGGACAAAUUAACUCGCAUUGUACAAGAACAAACGCGGCUUAUUGGGAACAUGAAAAAUAGUGUUGCUAAUUUAAGAGAGUUGGUGGAAGACAAAAAUGAUGAUAAAGGUCAACACUUUGAUGAUAGGCCUUUCAGUGCAACUGAAUAUCCAUUUGGAAGCACACCGAUUCAACAUAAACAACAAACCCCAGGGUGUGAAGGUCAGGAUGAACUCAAGCAAAGCACAAUGUAUGAUCGAGUGAAGGCUGCACCCCGAAGAAGGAUCAAGAGUAAGGCAAAAAGAACUUCAUUUACAUCAGAGGGUAGAAGAAAAAAAUCAGUAGUUGAAUUAGUUGUACUGAUAUUGUUAUGUUAACAACCUUAAUUCGAUGUAGCAGUACAAUAUGAAAUGUGUAUAUUACGUAUGAUGUUGAUGUACAAACAUUUAUUUUUUGGCAUUAAUUACAAGUUAAUUGGAUUGUAUGAAAGUGGUUUAAUUACAUUGAUUUCUAGUUUAUGUUUAUUCUUCUAUUUGUAUUCCAAGCCUGUUUUGUAAAACCGAUUCUGUAGUAACAGAUCUGGAAGCAAAGUGCAAAUAAGUGGGUAGUUCAGGCAAACUUUCAGCACAGGGGUGUCAACUUUGAAACUUGCAUUCUUAUUUAAUUGAACAAACUUUUCUUAACACCUAUUGGAAUUAUUGGAUACAAAAGUACAUGGCCAUUGAUGAUCACGAGUAUAUGGAUGGAUGUACAUGGCGAAGGGAGAACUAUUGUUAGCACUCAAUGUGUAGUAAUAGACGACAAAUAAGUGGGUAAUUUAGGCUAACUUUUAGCACGAGGAUGACAUCUUUGAAUCUUCCACUUCUUUUUAACUCUACAGUUUAUUGUUAACCAAUUAUAUUGAAUAAAAAUCAUUAAUUAUCAUUUAAGAACAAAUUUAUAUUCAAGUUCAUCCCCAAGGAAACGCUUUUCUUUAAAGUAAUGGUGCAAAAAGGAAAAUGGUAGUCAUUGGCUAAUAAGUGGGUAGCUUAGGCUAACGUUUAGCACGAGGAGGACAUCUUUAAAUAUGCUACUUCUUUUUAACUCCACAGUUUAUUGUUAACCAAUUAUAUUGAAUAAAAAUCAUUAAUUAUCAUUUAAGAACAAAUUUAUAUCCAAGUCUAUCCCCAAGGAAACGCUUUUCUUUAAACUAAUGGUGCAGAAAGGAAAGUGGUAGCCAUGGGCAAAUAAGUGGGUAGUUUAAGCUAACUUUUAGCACGAGGAGGGCAUAUUUGAACCUUCCACUUCUUUUGAACUCCACAGUUUAUUGAUAACCAAUUAUUUUGAAUAAAAUUCAACAAUUAUCAUUUAAGAGCACAUUUAUAUCCAAGUUCAUCCCCAAGGAAACGUUUUACUUUAAACUAAUGGUGUAGAAACGAAAGUGGGAGCAAUGUUCAAAUAAGUGGGUAGUUUAGGCUACCUAUUAGCACGAGGAGGGCUUCUUUGAACCUGCCACUUCUUUUGAUUGUUAACCAAUUAUAUUGAAUAAAAUUCAUUAGUUAUCAUUCAAGAAGACAUUUAUAUCCAAGUCCAUCCCCAAGGAAACGUUUUACUUUAAAGUGAUGGUGCAGAAACAAAAGUGGUAGCAAUGUUCAAAUAAGUGGAUAAUUUAGGCUAACUUUUUGCACGAAGAGGACGUCUUUAAUAUGGCACUUCAUUUGAAUUGCAUAUAUUUAGUGAAAAAUUAAUACUCUGUAAAUAGCACCUUAAACACACAUUAGGAAAUACAAAUGUUCGACAUUGCACAACAAAGAUCAUAGACAAAUAAUGCUCAUUGUUGUAUUGAACUGUGUCAAAAUGAUUACCAAUUCUAACACAAUCAUCAUUCUUAUGUUCAAAUUACAUUAGUAAUAAAUGUUAACAAAACAUUUGUUUUCAUCAAUUCUAAUACAUCAACCGUAAAUAUUGGCUUUUCAUUAAAUCAUCAUUCUAAUACAUCAAUUCUAAUACAUCAACCGUAAAUAUGUUCAAAUUACAUUUUUUGCUUCAUAUUAAAGCAUUCGUUGCGCCCAAUCCAUCAAAUGACCAUCUCCUUCAACAAUGGAGUGCAUAAGUCUAUUGGCUUGUCCAUAUUAACACACCACUUGAAUGGAGUUUGUCGAAUCCGAAUCCGAUCAAUUUCUCUUAGUUUAGAAUUAAUUUCCACAAUGACUUUGGUAUCACACCAUGCCCGCAAUCGAACCUGCAUAUUAUUUCCAACAAAUACAAUCAUUAACCUACACUAUUGAAACCAUCAAUUACAUUUCGAAUACAUCAAAUUUACUUACAUUGGUACCACCUUUUUCUUUAUUCAAAUCCAUCACUGUAAAAUGUAAGCACCUAAAAUGAUCAUACCAAAAUCAAUGAUUGAUACUGAAAAAAGGCAUAAUGUAUAUACAUGUUCUGAUUUCUUCAAGCCAAAACAAGAGUUUAUUCAAGACUAGAAAAGAGAAUUUGCAGGAGUUUUACUAUUAGAUGCCUAGGCUUUUACUGCAAUGUAAACCACAUUUACAUAUAUAAACAGUGCUUCCUGAUUCAAAUUGCACAUAAAUACAAACACCAAUCCAAAUCUUAACGCUAAACCAGUAAGGUAUUACAGAAAGCACCAAUUUGAAAUGUUUAAUUGGCACUUAAGAGGCCAAAAACUAAUAUAAGCAAGCAAUAAGGGUACUGAAUCAAGUACGAACUCAAAUGAAUACUAGGGAAAGUGCUAUAUUAGAUUUAGAAAGCAAGAAAAGGUUGCAACAAUAAAAUGCAAAAACUAGUGUUUUAAAUCAAUUUUCACGUGCAAAUUGGACUUUUAUAUUAACUUCUUUUUUUUAAGUUUGGACAUAUUCUACUUUACACACGGUGAAAGAAAGAUAAAAUAGAAAAAAUGUAGGUAAUAACAAGAGAUAUAGAAAAAAAAUAUAUUCAAUGAUGAAUUGUUUAAAAUAAGUUACCAUGCAUAUAAAUCUUUCUUAUCUGGUAAGUACUUAUCUAUUUGUCCCAAGUAAAAAAUCUUUCUUAUCUGGUAAGUAGUUAUCUAUUUGUCCCAAGUAAAAAUAGGGAUAACAUAUUGGUAUGUUAUUCUAAUCACUUUUAAGUACAUAGAAAAUUACACCAAACAUAAUUAUUUAAGGUUACUUCAAAAUUUUAAAAAAGUUGGAAGUAAAGAUAUAUGAACACCUUUGUGCAUUACACAUUCUAUUAUUAAUACCUAUUAUUUUCUCAAAUAUAUAUCUCCCCUUUGUGGAUCUGAAUAUAAAGAAAAAAUAAAUUUAAUUUAAUGACUAUAAAUGUUUAGGAGAAAAAAAAACAUAUAACCCUCUAAACUUUACUCCUUUUACGACUUUAGGGGAAUUAAAUGUUUUUUCCUUUUUUCAGUAAAAUAGCUAAUAAAAACUUCCAAAAACUCUUCUUUACUCCUUUUAAGUCUGGACAUAUUUGCAUCAUGAUAACCAUUCGAGAUUUCAAUUUCUUAUAACAAUUCUGCACUCAAUUAUCUUUUAUACUCUGAUUCUUACUUCAUUCACCUUUUCUUUUUCUUUAUUCUUCUUUAUUGGACCUAACCAUGUUCCUUUUUUUAUGUCUUUUGAAAAGUCAAAGCACUCAAUAUUUUAGUUUAACCAAUUUCAACUAAUGCUAGAUUCUCUGUGCCAUAACAACCAUAAAUUCACCAUCUUUCAAAACAAGGGAUUAAAAAAGUCCUACAACUCUAUUCUUUUUUAUCUGUGUCGAGUAACCUUUUGAAGUUUUACAAGUAUAUUCUUUAACAUCAUAACUUUUCAAAUUCACUUUUGAUGAAAAAUUCACAUUCUAAAACUUCAAAUGAUUCAAAAACAAGUAUUAGUUCCUUCAAAUAGAUUCACAUCCAGCAAAAAAAAAAAAAAAAAGAAGAAGUCCUAAGUCAGAAUAAAAUGAAGUAAACAAUAUUCAGAAUAAAGUUAAUAUAUCUCUGUCAAGUUCUGCAUGAUUAAUGAUAUCCAUUUUGGAUAUGUGUGAAAGGGUGUUUCUUUUUUCAUAGUACAAUACCUAUAAUCUUUUUCUCAUAUUUUCUCACUCUCAGUAAGUAAACAAUACAUUCAAUAUCCGAGAAAUAUAAAAUGUUCUUGACAAUUUCUUUUUCAUUUAAAAGGUAGCAUAAAUGUGUAAAAAUGUGGAAAGAAGAUUGACUUGAACUAUUAUAGUGUUGCCUAAUUCAAAUUGCACACAAAUAUGAGCUCAAAAAGGGUGGUUUGAUUGUAAAAUGCACACAAGCAGUCCUAGCACAAUGUAAACUGUCACAAAGACUUUGUUUGACUAAAAUGAACUUGUUUAGAAAGUAAGAAAAGGUUGCAAAGGUAACAACAAUAAAAUGCAUAAAACUAGUGUUUUAAAUCAAUUCUCACGUGCAAAUUGGCCUUAUAUAUUAGCUAUUUUUUUUUUAUUUUUAAUUUUGGACAUAUUUUCAUCAUAACCAUUUCAGCAAGUUUAGUUAUGCUUGUUAUAAUCAUUCAAAGUCAAUUUUCUAAAUGCAAUAGGCUUUUGCUAAAAAUCACUAGUUUAAUGGUUUGUUUCUGCUUUGCCUUUUUCUGAAUUAGCAACUCAUAUAUCUCAAUUUUGGUUUUAACCAAAACAAAGUAUAACAAGCAUUUAAACCAUUUAGUUUUGCAAUUUAGAAAGUGAGGAAAAGGUUAAAUUGGCAACUCAUAUAUCUCUAAGCAUGAUUAAACAGUACAGUAAUCAUCUAAUACUGAAAUGUUAAAUUGGCACUUAAGAAGCCAAAAACUAAUAUAAGCAAGCAACAAGGGUUCUGAAUCACGUAGGGACUCAAAUGGAUACUAGGCAAAGUGUUAGAUCAGAUUUAGAAAGCAAGAAAAGGUUGCAAAGGUAACAGCAAUAAAAUGCAGAAAACUGGUGUUUAUAGGCCGAGUUACUAAUCAUCUAAACAGUCCAAAACAUAAUUUAAACUCCAAACAAAUGCAUAAUUUUUAAAGACCAAGUGUGAGGACACACAACGAGUUUGGAAGCGGCGUUUUCGAGGCUGACCUCUUUCGAAUCGACGGUAGAGACUUUGGGUGGUCCUCCGGUGGCCGUUGAACGGCGACUGACGGUAGAAAUGGGACGACUAUGAAGAGACGCGAGUAAUCGGCAUUUUCGGGGCGUCACGGUGGAAGCUUAUGUCGACUGACGGUGGCCGUUGAGCGACGACUGAUGGUGGCCGUUGAAGGGCGACUAGCGGUGGAAAUGGGUCGGAGCUUUUCUCGCUGGGAGGGAGAGACGCGAAGAUGAUUGGCGGCGCCGCCUCUGAGUGGACCUCCGGUGGCCAUUGAACGGCGAACGAUGGUGGAGUCUGAAGGGGCUUUGGUCGUUUGGAGGGAGAGUUUCUCUCUCUAGGUUUAGUUCUCGCAGUUUGAAAAUGAAUUUGAAUUUCGAAAAUGUUUCCUUCCAAUUUCUGUUACUGUCCUUCAUUUUCCACCUCAUUCAAAUUUUUUUUAUUUUUUUAAGGGUGAACCAAUGAGAAGCUGACACGUUAUUGGUGUCAAAAAUUUGUCACCCAGAGGUUGUCAAAGUAUCAUUUUCCUAAUUUUAAAUUAUUGUCAGAUUUUUUAUCAACUUUAAUCUAUUAUUUACUUGUAUGGAUUUUGCAAAGCAUAUAGGCAAUAAAUCUAAUUUUUUUAUCAAUAAAAUAAAUAUAUUAAAUAAUUUUUUUUUAAUCCAUAUACAAAAUAAUAUAUAUAUAUAUAUAUAUAUAUAUAUAUAUAUAUAUAUAUAUAUAUAUAUAUAUAUAUAUAUAUAGAUAUACACUACAAAAAAAGUUACAUUGGAGAUUAUAUUGUGAAGGUUAAUAAAACCCUUCUUAGAUAACAUUAUUUACAAUUAUUUCUGAUAAAUUAUCUUAAAGCCAACAAUAGCAGAGGUUUUAAUUUCUUUUUAAAGAGGAAGAUUACCUUAACAUAUUAUAAUAUCCUUUUCACCGUUUCCCUCACUUUUUUUUUAAGCAUUCCCUCCCAAAAUUUUUCUUUUUUUUUCUCCAAAUCUUUAAGUUCUUCUUUUCUAGAAUUAGAACACAAUAAACCCAAAAGACGAAACCCUUCAUGCCUCAGCUUCCUCCUUGACCCUUCACUGUCUCAGUUUCAUCUUCACCCUUCAAUGCCUCAGUUUCUUCUUCAUCCUUCACUACCCUCAAACGCCGACGCCGAUGAGGAUUCUGGUGAGGCUCAUCUAAUGGUAGGGCGAGUAAUUAACGCUCCAUCACCACCACCGUGCGCGUCCUCGGAAUAACUUUCUCCUUGCCCCUUUCUAUCUCGCACUCAACGCAACACCUAAACCCUAAGCUACCAUUUCCGGCAAUCCCACCGUUGUCAGCAUCGUCGGUCCACCACUGCGUGUUCCUCCACUGCCAAAUCCUCAUGAAGCAAUAUACAAGAAGGUACACAUUUCAGUAUAUGAUUCCUUUUCUUCAGUAAGCAUUGCGGUAUGCUUGUUUUCAUCUAUGUAGUUUUUGUAAUAUUUGCCAAUAGGUCACUGAAACUAAUAUCAAGGAGUUUGAAGCAAACAAUAGGGGAUCUGACUCUGAGAAACGAAGCUUUCGAUGAGGUGAGGUGAUGCUUAUAAUGUUUAUUGUUUUCUAUAGUGCUUGUAAUGUUUAUUGGGUGCAGAGCAUGGCCAGAGGCGGUCCUGUUAGGCAUUUUGGAUGGAUCGGUGAUUGGAACUAAUUUGGAGUUGCAAGAGGGUAACUUGAUUGUGCAGAAAUGGAGGUUCAAAAGCUGGAACGAUGGAGUUCAAUCCACAGUAAGUAUUUUUCUUUUUAUGUUAACUAUUAGGAAAAAAAACCAAAUAACUAAAUUUCACACAACUUACAGUAUGAUAAUAGGUGUGUGUUAACUUAUGGAUAGUGAGUUGUGGUCAAUUGUAUUUCAUUUGUUCUUCAUAGUCUACCUUGUUGUGUUUCUUUCUUUCUGCCUAUGUAACUUCUGGAAUUUGUCUGGUCUGCUUAAAUGUAAUGUUGGUGAUUAUUAUCUAGAUUGCAUUUUGUAUCUUAAUCAAAUACUUAUUCUGCUGAGUAAUUUCUAUAGCAGUUCGUCUAAGGCUAUGGCCUAUGGCAUGAUUACAUGCAGUAUUUUUGUCAUCCCUACUUAUUAUAUUAAUAUUUUUGUUGUACGUAGAUACUAGAUCAACCUUAAGAAAUAUAUAUUGAAUUGAUACUUAACAGUUCAUAAACGCAUAUCACCGUCACCCAUUCACUCAGCUCAACGACACUGAAACAAAAGAAAAUAAUAGAAUGUAAAAGGAAGAGAAAGACUACAUAUUAAGGGUUUUUUUUGGAGGAAUCAUAAAUCAGAGAAAUUGGAGGAAAGGAUUCGUUAUUAACUCUCUUUUCUUUCUGUUUUUUAUUUUUUAUUUUUAUAUAAAUUGUAAAGAUAUCAUAUACAUGUGUUUUUCAUCUUCUUAAUUUCUCUGAUGGUUUGUUCUUAUUAUCAAUGACCCGCACCCGUGUGGAAAUGAAUUUAAAAUUUUUUAAAUCAUAGUUGAAUGUUGUCAAUAUUGUGGGACGCUUGGUAUUUUAGUUGGGUUUGUGAGUUUAACAUCAUGGUAGCUGUAUACCAAGUGUUUGAUGAAACGCCAACUUUGGGUGACUGCCUGCGUUGUGAACAUGUUAACUAGCGUGUGUCAGAAAUGAGAGGUACUUAUCUGUUAUGAGUUUGUUACUCUGUUGAGUUGUAGUAGUUUGUUUAAGUAAUUUGGUGUAAGCAUUCCAAUGUUAGAAGAAUUAUUCCAAUGUUGUUUGUGGAUGCGGGAAAAAUUAAAAUGAAAUUAAAACAGUAAAAACGAAAAUUCACGCUGGAACUAGGCAGCUCUGACCUUUGCUCAAUGUUUUAACCAUAACUUUUUCUACAGAGCUCUAAAUGACAUGAAGUUUUUUUUCCUGGAAAGUAGACUCAAUUAUCUUUAAUUUGAUAUAUAAAACGUAGCAUUUGGAGCUCUGGUCUGGUUGCAGUUAUUUUUUUAAAAUCGAGUCCAGAAAGUGAAAAUGCUAAACCCAACACUAGACUAAACAAGUAGCUAAACACAGUUAAAUUAAAUUAAAUACAAAACUAAAUUANNNNNNNNNNNNNNNNNNNNNNNNNNNNNNNNNNNNNNNNNNNNNNNNNNNNNNNNNNNNNNNNNNNNNNNNNNNNNNNNNNNNNNNNNNNNNNNNNNNNNNNNNNNNNNNNNNNNNNNCAAUUUAUAUGACACAUGCACCUACUAAAGAAAUUAAAAUAUUUCUCCAAAAAUCAAAUAACCUAGUUGCUAAUUCCAAAUGAGAACCACCGUUNCUGCAGGUUGCUCCAUAGCAAAAGUAAAAUAAAAGAAAGAAAAUGAAUGCUACCACCGUCCCAUCNCAAUUUGCAAAAGAAAUAUAAUUUUCCGCUGCAUGCGCCGUUCCAGCAAUGAAUCACGUUUCUAAGGAAUUGAAAUAAACCAAAUGCACCAGCUGAAUGAAUCAAGNGCGCUUUCUUUAAAUUGAAAGUAAAUUGAUUAAAAGAAAAGUAAAAAAAAGAAAACUUGUGGAAUCCAAAACGCAACAGCAAGCUUCUAUCUUAAUAAAACAAAAAUAAUGUUUGAUGCAGCAAAUGGCGGCUACAACCUUCUUCAAACUAAUAUUUAGACAAAACUAAAAAACUAUGAGGGUACGGCUGCAGCUAGCUUAAAAGAAAUACACAAUUAGUGUUUGCAAGAAAAAUAAAGUGUGUGCUCUUCAUUCUUCAAAAUAUUUACCCCGUAGCCAUAGCAAUGCUCCAAGGAAGCUCCAUAAGAAAACCUUCAAAGCCCCUUCCCAAUAAUCUCCAGCCGAGAGAAUAUAUCCUAGGUAAAAAAUGACGGCUGUCCAAAUCCUAGGACCUUGAGGUGUGUGCUGAAAAAUUAGGGUGGGGUCCACCCAACCCUAGGUAGGACAUGUGUCACCAAAAUUUGGGCUCCAACAUAUUUUUAAUGGCCCAAUGUGCAAAGGUUUGUCNAAAAAGUUUAAACAAUUNAAAUUACAAUACAACUAAAAUUUAAAAUGUAUAAUUGAGAGUCUUGAAUUUAUUUGGUGUCUCCAAAUGUCCCAAAUUGUGUUUCCAAAAUUUUCCCUGAAAAUAAUAAUGCAAAUAAUUAGCUCAGAAAAUUCAAAUUAAUUAAAAUUAGAAUUUUCGGUCAAAUUAAGCAUAAUUAGGAAAAACGGAAAAAUACCGGACAAUUAAGCACAAUUCCCUGAUUAAUUCUAGCACAAUAAACUAAGUGAAGUCGAGAAAAUAUCGACUCAUCAGUAUCCAUGAAUAAUAUAUGAAAGUUUAUUUUGUCUUUGGCCUCCCUCUAUAGCCUUUUCAUGGUAGAUUGUUAGAAGUAGCGGUACCUUGGUUCUUUGCAUCCUAACAGUUUUUAUUGGUGUUCUCCUUUUUGUGUUGAAGAAUAAAAGAUUAUCUAUCUUCAUUUUUCUUUGAAUACAAGAUUAUCUUUGCAUGAUAUCCUUCGCAUGUUUAUGUCCUAGUUCUUCAUUUCACCCCAGCAACUCAUACAUUACUCGACAUUUAAUUUAGUCCGUGGAUGUUUAGAAUCACUGCCCUUGUCUCUGCCUCAUUAUAGUUGGCCUUGCAUUUAGAUGAGGACUCAAGCAUUUGAAAGCCAACAUAGCAACUUUCAUGGCUCCUUUCAUGGGAAAUUGCCCUUUUAGUCUACAAUCUAUGAUGCUAUAAAGGUUUUUCUGAUCUCUCAGCAAAGGCCUUGCCCAUUUCAUUAAGUUAUUGCCACCAUUCGACCGAGACUUAUCCACUACAAGAUUGAUAAGGAUAUCCACAAGGACUUUAAGAGUUGGAUUAUCAAUAUGGAGGAACUUCAAGAUUGUAGCCCAUCAUUAAUAACAGUAUAUUCACGACCUCUACCUAUGGACUCAAAAUUUUAUCCUAAAGUAAUCACAUCCAAGACAUAUGAAUUGACUAGAAGUAGAAAAUAAAGUAUAUCUCACCACCACUUAAAUAAAUGAAACAAGAAAUUUUACCAUUCCCUUUGGCCGUAAGAUUGUCUUGACCACAUCUCCAACAAAAAAAAACCGUCCGAACAAAAUCAAAUCAUUCAACACACAUAAUUAAAGUAAACCAAAUUUUCCUAAACUCAUAAAAGUAAUAAUGCAUGGAAGCAUAUCCUUUAUUAACUUUCAAGUUUUCAAAAACUAAAAUGAAAAAGGUUAAUUAAUAUACCAUUGGGCUUCUAAAAACAACAUAUGCAAUUGACAUUACCAUAUAAUUCAAAUAAUGCAUCUAACGAGCAACACGUAUAACUCAAUAAGUAUACAAGUCUAAAAUUCAAAUUUUUUGAAUGAAAAAAAAAAUAACAAAAGACAAUAAGAGAAUCAUUAUACUAGAAACAUUGACGGAAAAUAGAGUAGGAUUCGAAAAUUUGUUAAGGGUCAUAUCUGAUAAAAGCAUCUAUGUUGUGCACAUUCCUUUCUUUUCUUUUGUUGCAACUUUCAUCUUAAUCAGAAAAAAGAAAACACCACAGCACGAUGAAAACAAAGCCAUAAAAAAUUAUUCAUCAGCUUUAAUGCUUUUCGGUGAAAUAAUUAGCUGCCACGAAUAAUAAAUUUCAUAUAUGUCAAAUAUUACACAUAUUUUUUCUAACACAAGCAAUUAGUACUUUCUUAACAACUAUUCUUUUGAUUUUUCGCAACACAGGAAAUAGUUCUUUUUGGCUUAUUUCUAUUGUAUAAUUCAUUCACUUUCAGUUAUUCCUUAGUGAAUUGUAACAUAAGUAAACUAAAUUAACUUAUUAACUACCAUUGAAAUGCUAUUUGCAUUUGACCAGAGAGUGUAUAAUAGUUUUCUGCUUAGCAAUCAAAUUCUACAGCUGAAAGAUAGAGAUAAAGAAGGCGUUUAAGGGCAAAUAAAAUAAAAUAAUUAUAGAGACGUUGAGAAAAAGUAGAAAUGCAAAGAAAAAAAACCUUAAUUCGGACUGAGAGUAGCAGAAUGUUUACAUCAAUAUUGGGGUUAACAUCCCGAGAGCAUUACCCAACUACAAUGCAAUAUAGAGCACCAAGCCAAGGAUAAAGAUCCCAACCAAAAACUUAAUUAGGAAAGGCGCAUGCUAAUGAAAUGUUGUCAAGAAAUCUAUGAACUAAAUAUUCCAUGAAUGUAUGCAAACAAAGAUCCAAAAGUUCUAAAAUAAAUAUGGCCUAAUAAUAAACGAUCUCAGGUUCUAAUUCCAUGAAUGGAUGGUUGCACAAAACUUGCUUUUAGGAAAAUGUUUCUUAACUUAAAAGAAGUAGAUGAAGAAAUUUCCCAAACAAACUACUAAAAGAUUAUAAUAUCUGGUACCCACCUUCUCCAACUUGUUUCUUGCUUUUACCACACUUACACUUAUGUUUUUAAACCAUAACAUCACUAGAGUUUUCUCUUCCAUCCUUUUACUCUCACUCGCUCUCACUUCACUGAAAGCUUCGUUUAUCAUAUAAGUACAUCGUAAUUGCUAAUUAUAUGCUUGUAUGAUAUUAUAUUGUGUGAUUGAGCUGUCUGAUGAAAUAUGAUAUGUGAAAUUGAGUUAGGAUUUAAUUUGACUUACAUGAAUUGUAUUUUGAAAUCAGGUAUGUUGUAUAGUUGGUAUUAUAAUUUAGAUUAAUUGAAUCAUUGAAUAGUGUACAAUAUGAUAAUUGAUAUGUUUUGGAAUCUGUAAUUGUUGUUUGAUUAAGUCGCGGGGUUCAAAUGACAUCAAUCUACAAAAUUAUGUUAUGCAGAUUUAUGCAGACUUGUUGGGUGAAGCCAAAGUCAGAAAGUUAAUGACUUAAUUGUUGCUGAGCGAGAAUAUACCCGUUGGACGAAGUCAAAGUUAGAGAGCUACUGACUUUGUGGUUGUUGGACAAGGAUAUACUCGUUGGGCGAAACCAAAAUCAGAGAACUCACUGAUUUGGAAGUAGUUGGGUGAGACAAGUCUAGUUAGGUGAACUAUCUAGUUGUUGGGCGAAACCAAAAUCAAAGAACUCACUGAUUUGACAGUAGUUGGGUGAGACAAGUCUAGUUAGGCGAAUUAUCUAGUUGUUGGGCGAGUGUGCUCUCAGACACUACUCAUUGAGUGAGUAGAUAUGUUCUUGUUAGAGAUAUUAUAUUUAGUUUAUAUUGUGUUUAUGUUAAUUAGGGAAAUAUAGUCCCUAUAUGUUUAUUAGGGAAACAUUGUUCUUAUUUUAUUUUAUUUUAUUCUUACAUAUUCAUUUGUAUUUGGGCUUAGCACAUAUUUCUUCUAUUAUAAAUAGAGAACACUAUGUGUGUAUUUAACACAAGGGAUUAAUUUCAAUAUAUAAUUUUCACUAUAUUUAACAUGGUAUGAGAGUAGGUUUUCUGAUCCUUUUCUACUUUGACUUUGUUGUCGCUGGUGGCGACAGCGGUCCCCCCAUAAAAGUUUCUUUUUCAACUUGUGCCUUUAUACUUCAAUGGACAAUCUCUAGUUUCUGUCUCGCAUUUGUCUGGUGUUGCUGUCCGCCAAUGCCCGUUGCCGAUGGCCAUCGUCACUAGCCGACGACCGACUGUCGUCUCCGGCCACCGUCUCCGGCCACCAUCUUCGGUCGUCGUCUCCGGCCACCGUCUCCGGCAAUCGUAUCCAGCUGUCGCCUCCGGCCACCGUCUUCGGCCACCGCCGCCGACAACGUCUCCGGUCGUCAUCUCCGGCCACCGUCUCCGGCCAUCGUCUCCGGCCACCGUCUCCAGCAACCGUCUCUAGCCGUCAUCUCCGGCCACCACCGUCUCCGACCACCGUCUCUAGCUUCAACCUUCGUCUCCGUCCACCAGCGCCGACACCGUCUCCGGCCACCAUCUCCAGUUGUCGUCAUUGGCCACCGUCUUCGACCACCGUCUCCGACCACCGUCUCCACCACCAUCUCCGACCGUCGUCUCUGCCACUUGUGCCACCGAUGCACCAACACCUAGUCCUACCUCUACUGCUUCCGCUAUCUUCUUCUCUAUUCUGAAAGGUCUUGAAGGACAGUCAGUGGUUAACACCAAGAAAUUUCAACACUAAAAUUAUGGGUUGAAACAAUUUCACCAACCCUUUGUCAGAUUUGUUUUUUUGGGUGCUUUGAUGAAUAAGAGCUCAUUAUGAUCUUCCACUUUCACGAUUUGUCAUCGGUGCGCCGUUAUUUCCGCCGUUCGUCGUGAGGAGGAGUAUGUUUCCAGCCAAGUUUUAGGCUUUCAGACUCAACUCGUCAGUGAUGGCAGUCCCUGCAUACAGGCCCCAUCAGUCAAUGAUGGUAGUUCCUGUAGUUUUGUCGCUUUUAGCCACUACAUGCCCCAUCAGUCAGUGAUGGCAUUCCGUAAAGUUUUGUCGCUACAGGCCCCAUUAGUCAGUGAUGGCAGUCCCUGCAUACAGGCCCUAUCAGUCAGUGAUGGUAGUCCUUAUAGUUUUGUCGCUUUUAGCCACUACAGGCCCCAUCAGACAAUGAUGACAGUCCCUGUAUACAGGCCCCAUCAGUCAGUGAUGGCAAUCCCUAUAGUUUUGUUGCUUUUAGCCACUACAGGCCCUAUCAGUCAGUGAUGGUAGUCCCUGUAGUUUUGUUGCAUUUAGCCACUACAGGCCCCAUCAGUCAGUAAUGGCAUUCCCUAUAGUUUUGUCUCUUUUAGCCACUACAGGCCCCAUCAGUCAGUGAUGGCAAUUGAUAAUGGUAAUUCUUACCAUUAUCUAUGGUGCAUUUUUCAUGCCAAAUCAACAUUCCUGAAGCUUUAAACAUGCUUGAUCCUCUUCUUUAUCCAACUUUGUGAGUAAACUUAGAUUAGGUUAUACACUUGAGUUUUCAUCUCUUUUCCUCAAAAUUUUGUAGGAACUUUGAGUACUUUGGAAAGGCAUUCAAGUUUAAGAGUGGAGAACCAAGGGAGGACCACAAAAGAAGAAGUCCAAGAAGCUAGACUGGCGCUGGGCGCCAACCUUCUCACGCUGGGCGUGAAAACUGGCUGUUUCCAGCAAGAUUUCACGCUGGGCGCAAGUUUGUCACGCUGGGCGCCAGUUUUCACUGUUUGCACACGCUGAGCGCCACUGUCUCACGCUGGGCGUGAAAUUCCAUUGUUUCCAGGGGUAUUUCACGCUGGGCGCCAUUUUAAUGGCGCUGGGCGUGAGAUGUCUGAUGUGGCACCCUACCCUAUAAAAGCCACACAGUUUUCGAGAGCANGGAUCUUCUUGGCGGCUGAGACCUAGGGAAGCGUUNCUGUGCCUCUUGGAGCUAGUUCUGGACAGUGGGAGCUCUCCUCUCCUUCUCCUUGAGUCUCUUCUUCACCAUUUUCAUUCCAUUGUAAGCUCAAGCUCUCCAUUAAUGGANAACUAAGUUCAUUAUUGUUGGAGAGUGAUGUAAACUAGGAACUUCUUGUAAAUGCACUCGUGUUUAAAUGAAAAAUGCUUCAUUCAUUGCUUGUUGGUGUUUUUGUCUUUCUCUUAAUGCUAGUUAUGACUUGAUCAACCAUAGCUUGAUUGUGGGGUUUACUUAAGGUUGGGAAACUUUGGGUAAAAUUGAACUAGACUAAACACCUAAGGGAAAUAGUGUCUAGGGAUAGAACUAGGACCUUUAGUUGUCAUAAACUUCUUUUCUUAAUGCGGGUGAAUUUGGUGGAUUACCAAGGGAUUGGGAUUUAACAAAUGAACCUAGGCUAACUCACCAAGGGAUUGGGUUUUAGUAAAUUAGCUAGUUGGCAAGAACAAGUAAUUAAUGAAGGGUAUUGUAGUGCAUUUGCAUAGCAAGGAAUUAGUUGAAAUCAUUCUCCAACAUAUUCAUUCCACAUAGUCACCAAUCAUUUUCAUAUUCACUAGUUUUGGCCCCAAUUAGUUCAAAUUUUACUUAUGCAUAAAAUUUACUUUCAUUGCACAAUACUAACCAAAAAUUGGAAUCAUUCUUUAGCUUGAAUGAGUUAGUAAUUAUACGAGUGUAGAGUAAUAUCGAAGUCUCUAGGGAAACGAUUUCCGGUCUUACCGGCUUUACUACUUGCACGACUUGGUACACUUGCCAAAAUCUUAACAGUAUACAAGCCCCAAUUCCUUAGAGACAAGUUCUAAACCUUUAUGUGAAAAUAUUAAUCCCUUAGAUAUUCAAACACAAUAUUUACAUUAAGAAAAGAUGUCUAAAAUGACCCAAAGCCUUGGUUUAUGUCUAGAGCCCAGCCUCUUAGUUGUUAUAUCCAUGUCUAGGUUCCAAAGCAUUUUCCAAUGAUUAAAUACUAAUAAAAUAGCACAUAUAUUCCAUCAUGCAAGUGAAUAAAACGGAUAGAACACAAGAAAUACGAAAUAUAUUCUACUACAUAAAAAGAACUACAAAUAGUUUAGGUGUUUUACAUCCAACCCUAACGAAAUGGAGUUUAACUACUCUUAUACAUCUAGAACAUAAGAAUGGAUUGGAAUGAUGAAAAGGAUGAAGAAAGAUGGAUUUCUUCAACCCUAUAACUGCCUCAACCCGUGUCUUGAGCGUCUAGUUCAUUCUCACGUCCAAAAAACUCUCGACACUUUAAAUGUUUCACCAAAAAAUGUUUCCUUGCUGGGCCAUUGAAUCCUCUCGCUGGGUAAGAGGUAACUUUUUAAACACGUGGCUUUUUCCAACUUGUUAGGCUUCUUGACUAGGAUAGUGUUGUCAAGCUCUCGCUAGCCGAGUAGAGAUAAGCGAGUGGCUUUUAGCAGCAUCUCUUUAAUAUUCUUCAAUUCUUCCAAUUUCUUGCAAAAAUAACUCAAAAAUAGAUAAGUAACUAUCUUUAUAACAACUAUAUACAAGUUUCGCAUCUUUUCAUUGAAUUCAACACAAAAUAAAUAACAAAGAGACAAAUAAGAGGUUUAAUAAGUGUGAAUAAUAGGUAAUUAUCACACUUAUCACAAGGCGAGGUUGUAGUGCCCUAUUUUUGCGAUUCUCAAAUAGAGAGAGAAAGAGGGAGGGAAGAAAGAUGUUGUCGAUGUUGAUGAUGUUCUCAUUCACACUUAGGGAUGGCAGAAAAUUUGUACCUGCGGGUACCCGCGUAUAAAAUCCGCUACGGGUAUUUAGUAUCCGUGGGUAGCGGGUAUUUUAAUAUCCGCUUGUUAACGGGUCGAGUUCGUGUAUCAUCCUAUCCGUAUCUGCAGGUACCCGUUACCCGUUUAAAAACCAAAAUUUUAAUUUUACCCCUAACUAUUUUAUGAAAUUAAAAAAUAAAUUAAAAUAUAUGUUUUUAAUUUUGCCACGGUGGUGUGCAGAGGAAGUGAAGUAAAGUUCCCUUCUUCUUUCUUUUUCUCUUUCACACUUCCUUCCCUUCUUCUUUCUUCUUCUUUCUCUUUCCCUCUACACAAAAACAUCAGUGAAAGAUGAGAUUCAAUGCUAACAAAAGCAGGGUCUUGUAGGCAAAGGGUAAUGCCCUGAGUACGACCCUCAAUUUUAUUUUAUUUUUUAAAAUUUUCACCUUUGAUUACAAAAGCCGAAAAGUGAAACCACAAAAAUAGCACUCACCAGAAGCGAUGUCGGAGGUGGCUGAGAAAGGGCCACGUCCACCAGCGGAGGAGGCGGAGGCCGACGGUUCCGACAACCUUACAUCGGUGGUUUUUGGAGAAUCAGCUGCAGGCUUCAUGCCUAGAAAGUGGAGAUCUGAGAUUUUUUUGUGCAAAUCUGAGAUCCUUAAGUGCAGAUAUGAGAUGUUUUGAUGCAGAUCUGAAAUAUUUUGGUGUAGAUCUGAGUUUGAAGUGAAGAUCUAGGGUUUAUAAGUUUUGAAAAAGAAAGAAAAAUAAACUUUGGUUCAGAAUUUGGGUUUGGAUAACAAUACAGACGCUGUUAACGGGUAUCCAAUAGAUAUUCGCUGGCUGGAAAAAAUCCGCGGGUUUUUUUUAUGCGGGUACCCGGUGGGUAGUGGGACGGGUAACGGGUACGCUUUUGUACAUGCGGGUCGGGUUCGGGUAUCAUACUAUCUGACCCGUUGCCAUCCUUAUUCACACUAUUGUACAAAUGUUUGUCUCACACCUCCAGAUGAUGAAAAAGCUUUCCAGAUAAUUAAUUGUUUUUCAAUGUUAGUUUAAAAUAUAAAGGGUUUGUUUAUUUCAACGUGUGUAAUCAUAAGAGUGAUAUGUGCAUUGUGGAAGAUUUAAUACGUGCAAAAUAUUUUGUGGUUUUGAUGUGACAUUUAAAGUCAUAUUCUCUCUUGUUAUGGGGCAAGGUGCUAUUUGAUGGUUGUACAGGAUAUUUCUCCUAUUGAAUCAGAAAAGUUUGGUGGUAUAUGUGGAAACUGAAUUUCUUUUUUUAAAAGAAGGGGUUUUGACCGCGGUUCAAGAAAGAACCACGGUCAUAUCCCCAGGUUUUUACCGUGGUUGGAACUGUGACAAAAGGUUAGACGAAUUUUUUUUUUUUUUAAAAAGGGGUUUAGGUCGCGGUUCAAGAAAGAACCGCGGUCAUAUCUCCAAGUUUUUAUCGCGGUUGGAACCGCGACCUAAAAUCCUAGACUUUUUACCUUGCCUGUAUAUGUCGCGGUAACCGCGACGUAUAGUCAAAAACAAUCACGGUUUUUUUCCUUCCCUACACUAGUAGUCGUACAAAAUCUUAAUAACUCUGAAUUAAAGUCAUGGUACAAAAUCUUAAUAACUUGUAAAUUAAAGCUGUGAAGACAACUUUUAUCAUUAUAUUUGGAAAAGAUAAAAUCGUUUUGAAUCCUAAAUUAAGUUUAGUUAGAAAAAAUAUUUCUUUUAUAAAUAUUUUAAAUUAAGGUUGUUAUGAGACAUAAUAACUCUUAAUUUAGAGGAUAUCGUUUACAGGAGUCGUGACUUUCAAUUAAAUUAAAAUAUUCUUCAAUUAUCACAACUUCACAAACCAAAAUCGUGAUAAGUGAUAAUGAUUUUAAUUAUUUGUUUCUUAUAAAGAAAUAGAGCUUGUGUUGAAAUAUUGAAGUCCAGAAAAUCAUUAAUGUACAUGAGUCUAGGUUAUAGUCAAAAUAGAAUUAAUUUAUAAUAAAGUUUUAAUUAACUAUUAAAUAUUUUUUAAAAUUGUGUAAGUUUUUAUAAUAUUUUAAAUUGCAAAUUGAUUUCAAAAGUUUAAAUUAAUUAUAAAUUGGUUUUUAAUUAAUUUUUAUUAUUUGUAAGUUAAUUGAAAAAUUAUGAUCGAUCUAACAUGGUUGGACUUGACUUACUCAACUCAAAUCCAACCCAAUUUUUUUCUUUAAAUUUAGUUUUCUUUUUCUCAUUUGACAAUUUCUUAAAUUUAAACAUUUUUUAAUUAUAAACUACCAACAAAAUAAAUUAAAUCUAUUUACAAUAAAAUUAUAAAAAUUAUUUAUGUUUACAAUAACGAUAAAAAUUAUUUUUAAUUAUUAUAGAAAAACUGAACACACAUAUAUAUCUUCACUGGUUUAUAUUAAUAUAAAUAUAUAUUAAAACAGUAGUUAAUAAACAAUUAUAUUAAGGAAUUCAAUUUUUUCACAUACACAUUUUAUUCUAAAUUUACUCUUCAAGUAACUAUUAUUUGAAACUAAAAUAACAACAUUUUCAUUUUUACCCUUUAAAUAACUAGUUAAUCUAAAUUUAAUUAUGUUGUAAAUUACUAUUCAUCAUUUUAGUAACUACUUUUCUAAUUUCAAUUAAUUAUUUCUAAUAAAAAACUAUUUAAUAAAAUUUAUUUUGCAAUAUAAUAAAUAUUUAGUAGAAUGAAAAAAAGAAAUGGACCAACAAGCACGUACAUGUCUUUCCACCCAUAAAAGAUAAAGGUAAUAACUUUUAUUAAAAGAUAUCGGAAACUUAUAUGUUUCCGAUAGUGUUAUUAUUAAACUUCUGAAUAAAUUUUUAAUACUAAAAACUAUAAUACAAAAUACAAGGUGUAUCUGGUCUGGUGAAAAGAAAAAUCAGUUUUGACAUCUACAAAUAAAUUUUAAAAAUUAAUUAAAUCUAAAAGUAAUUGUUUUGCUCUGGAUUCAGUCAUGUUUUUUUUUUUUUUAAUUUUUCUUCCAUUGAAGUGUUUUAAUUGUUAUAUAGAAAUCUUUUAUAUACGUAAAAACAAUAUAAUUAUUUUUAUUAUUUUCUGUCAAAAUAUACAUUACGAACUAAUAUUUUUCAAAAUUGAUGGAAGAGAAGUGUAUCCAUGACUCAAUUUCAUAGAUUGGUCUAAAUACUUCUUUAAAUAAAUAAAUGAAAUAAUAAGAAAAAUAAAGAUGAAAGUUAAACUAUAUCUCUUCAAAAUAACUGCACCUCUUCUCAUAGAACAUUGCAUAAUGAAUUUUAAAUAAAAUAUGUUGUCAUUAUUAACUUAUUAUUUUAAUAAGAAAAUAAAAGUAGAAGCUUUGAAUAAACAGUAGUGUCAAAUAAUCACCACUCAAUAUAAAAAUAUUUUAAAAUAGAGGAAUUAUCUAUGAAACAAUUUUACUUUCAUAAUAAGAAGGUUGUCAUGAAUAUCUCUAAACCUGUUCAUCUUGUUUAUAUACAAAGAACAAACAUAUUCAUACCUAUAAAAUAUACAUCAGAUAUCACUUUCAUUGGAAAUAUUUAAAUUACAUAUCAAUUUUGUACACACGUUCAUCCAACAAUAAUACUAUUGAAAAUAUUACAUGAGACUCAUCGAAUUAUGAAAUUAAAUAACUUACAAAUUUACUUAUAACAUUUUUCAUUUUGUGUUUACUUGAAAUCCUAUUUCUUAAUAUAAAUUAAAUACAUAUUAAACCUGAUCAUAUAUAUUAAAUGUUUUCUUUAUUCUAUUUAAACAAAUCUUAGUAGUCUUUAUAAAACACAUGUCAAACACACUCUUGCACAGAAUUCUCGAGCUAAGAAGAUCUUAAUUGUAAUUAAUGACGAUUGACCCUUGUCCAACUAAUUAAGCUUUGUUGUUGAGUUCAACGUGUUUUUUCGAAGGAGAAUGAUAUUUUGACAAUUUCUUUUUUAAUAAUUUUUUUAUAACAAAACGCGUGUUAUUAUUUUAUUGGUUUGUUUGAAUUUAUGUUUAAAAAAAUAUUUAAAACGAAUCAAUCAUAUAUUACCACCUAUGCGUUAUAAAAAAAUUGUUAAAGAGAUUUUUUUUUUAAUUCGAAUUAACUAUAUUAUAUAAUAAUGGCAGAAGUAAAACUCAGGAUAUUUGGAACAAAUUAGAAUUUGCAGAACAUACAUAAUAUUCAUCUCUUUAAUUUGCUCUUAAACCCAUAAGAAAAGUCACUGGAACAUUCCAUGACUAUAGACACGACGUUUUAUUCAUAAAAUAUCUUAAGUACUACGUUGUUGACGUGAGUUGUCUCAGUUAUGAGUCUCAUCCUGAGUUUGUGCAACAACAGCUUCACCAGCGUAAGAGCAGCACCUUAUGCAACGUCCGUUGAAAAACCGGCAACAGCCGAAACGACAGCCCACAUCACGUGCAGGGUAGCCACCACCAUGACCGUCACCACCAUGACCAGGAUAGCCACCGCCAUUACCAGGAUAGCCGCCGCCAUAGCCUCCACCAGGAUAUUUGGCUUCACCAACUCCAUUUGUCACUUUAACAACCCCAAACUGGUUAGUGAACACAACAAAUAUUUUUGUACAUCAUUAAGUAAAAACUUAUUACAUAGUUAGAAAACUACGCAUUGAAGUUAAGAAUGUAUUAAAAAACAAGAUGAAUAUUGUAACAUACCCUCUUUUGCAUUGGUGGAUUUCACCUCUGAGGAGGCUAAAAGGAGCAUAGCGAACAUGGCUAGGAUCAGUAUUGCCAUCUUCAAACCCAUCUUUCAGUAUUAAGGAGAUAUGUUUGGUAAAGAAGGAUGAGAAAAGUAGUGGAAAGCAUGGUGUAUAUAUAGGAGUGAAGAUACAGAAAUAGGAAUUGUUCGUUGGCGUUUAUUAAUGCAAUCUUAUCUUGCAAGAGUUUUGUUCUUCACUUAUGUCCUUCUCUACUUUGAACGGUAGAAAAAUGUAGCUAUGUCAUUCCCUACUUUGAACGGUAGAAAAAUGUAGCUUUUAAAUUGAAGCACAGUAGUUAUUCUACCCUUGUCAACUUGGCACACAUCAUCUAGGGUGGACAAAUGAAACUCCAUAUACUUUAUUACUAAAAAUUGUACUGAACUAAAAAUUAGUUUGUUUAAAUUUAACUAAAUUGUAAAACAGUUCAGACAAACUGAACUGUUUUUUGUUUUAUCAAACUGAACUGGACUCUACUAAAUUGUACUAAACUACACUAUAAACUGAACUGAAUUACAAUUUUAAACUGAAUUGUACUAAUUUUUAAACUAAAUAGUAUAACAAUACAUGUUCUUUUUAAUUGAAAUUUUUUAAUAUUUAUCUUAUUUUAUUCAUAAGUGUUUUAUAAAUUGAUUUUUUAAUUAUUUGAUAUUAUUAUUUUCUAUUUUAUUUAUAUUUCUUUUAUUAUUGGAAAUUAUUUUAUUUUUUAUUUAUUUAUUUUAUUUUAUUGAUAAAAAAAUAUAAAAAAUAACGUUACACACUAAUACAAACAAAAUAUAUAUAUAUAUAUAUAUAUAUAUAUAUAUAUAACUUAAAAAAUAUAAGAAUAUAAAUUACGUUUUUUUAUUUAUACACAUUAUAUGUUUAUUGAUAAAAAAAUAUAAAUUUUAUGAUAAAAAAAAUUUGUUUUAAAAAAUUAAUUAUUAAUUUUUUUUAUGCAAGUUGUUUCUUUUAUUAAUAUUUUAUUAUUAAAUAACUUUUUUUACAAGACAAAACAAUUGAACGGGAACUAGAGAAGAGGAAAGAGUAGAUAUAGUUCUUACAGUUAACUAAAUUGAAACUCUUAUAAGUUCAGUUUGUAAAAAUUGAACCAUAAAAUAGUAUACUGAACUUCUAAGAAGAGUGAAUAAGUUUUUUAGUAUAUAAUAUAGUACAGUUAACUGUAGUACAAUACAAAUCAGUUAUUUUUGCCCAGCCCUACACAUAUCACUUAUAGUUGGCCUUGCAUUUAGAUGAGGACUCAAGCAUUUGAAAGCCAACAUAGCAACUUUCAUGGCUCCUUUCAUGGGAAAUUGCCCUUCUAGUCUACCAUCUAUGAUGCUAUAAAGGUUUUUCUAAUCUCUCACCAAAGGCCUUGUCCAUUUCACUAAGCUUUUGUUACCAUUCGAACGAGAGUUAUCCACUACAAGAUUGAUAAGGAUAUCCACAAAGACUUUAAGAGUUGGAUUAUCAAUAUGGAGGAACUUCAAGAUUGUAGCCCAUCAUUAAUAACAGUAAUUUCACGUCCUCUACCUAUGGACUCAAAAUUUUAUCCUACAGUAAUCACAUCCAAGACAUAUGAAUUGACUAGAAGUAGAAAAUAAAGUAUUUCUCACCACCACUUAAACAAAUGAAACAAGAAAUUUUACCAUUCCUUUUGGCCGUAAGGUUGUCUUGACCACAUCUCCAACAAAAAAAAAGAACGUCUGAACAAAAUCAAAUCAUUCAACACACAGAAUUAAAGUAAACCAAAUUUUCCUAAACUCAUAAAAGUAAUAAUACAUGGAAGCAUAUCCUUUAUUAACUUUCAAGUUUUCAAAAACUAAAAUGAAAAAGGUUAAUUAAUAUACCAUUGGGCUUCUAAAAACAACAUAUGCAAUUGACAUUACCAUAUAAUUCAAAUAAUGCAUCUAACGAGCAACACUGAUAACGGUAAUUCUUACCAUUAUCUAUGGUGCAUUUUUCGUGCCAAAUCAACACUCCUGAAGCUUUAAACAUGCUUGAUCUUCUUCUUUAUCCAACUUUGUGAAUAAACUUAGCUUAGGUUACACACUUUAGUUUUCAUCUUUUUUCCUCAAAUUUUGUAGGAACUUUGAGUACUUUGGAAAGGCAUUCAAGUUAUAAAGAGUGGAGAACCAAGGGAGGACCACAAAGAAGAAGUCCACAAGAAGCUCACCAAGACUGGCGUUGGGCGCCACCCAUCUCACGCUGGGCGUGAAAACUGACUGUUUCCAGCAAGAUUUCACGCUGGGCGCCACUUUCUCACGCUGGGCGUGAAAACUGACUGUUUCCAGCAAGAUUUCACGUUGGGCGCCACUUUCUCACGCUGGGCGUGAAAAUCCACUAUUUCCAGGGGUAUUUCACGCUGGGCACCACUUUAAUGGCGUUGGGCGCGAGUUGUUUGAUGUGGCACCCUACCCUAUAAAAGGCACACAGUUUUCGAGGGUUAGGAUCUUCUUGACGGCUGAGACCUGGGAAAACGUUCUUACACCUCUUGGAGCUAGUUCUGGACAGUGGGAGCUCUCCUAUCCUUCUCCUUUAGUCUCUUCUUCACCAUUUUCAUUCCAUUGUAAGCUCAAGCUCUCCAUUAAUGGAGAGCUAAGUUCAUUCUUGUUGGAGAGUGAUGUAAACUAAGAACUUCUUGUAAAUGCACUUGUGUUUAAAUGAAAAAUGCUUCAUUCAUUGCUUGUUGGUGUUUUUGUCUUUUACUUAAUGUUAGUUAUGACUUGAUCAACCUUAGCUUGAUUGUGGGGUUUACUUAAGGUUGGGAAACAUUGGGUGAACCUUGAACUAGACUAAACACCUAAGGGAAAUAGUGUCUAGGGAUAGAGCUAGGAUCUUUAGUUGUCAUAAACUUCUUUUCUUAAUGCGGGUGAGUUUGUUGGAUUACCAAGGGAUUGGGAUGUAACAAAUGAAUCUAGGCUAUCUCACCAAGGGAUUGGGUUUUAGUGAUUUAGCUAGUUGACAAGAACAAGCAAUUGAUGAAGGGUAGUGUAGUGCAUUUGCAUAGGAAGGAAUUAGUUGAAAUCAUUCUCCAACAUGUUCAUUCCACAUAGUUAUCAAUCAUCUCAUUUUCACUUGUUUUGGCCCCAAGUAGCUCAAACUUUUACUUAUGCAUAACUUUUACUUUCAUUGCACAAUAUCAAACAAAAAAUGGAAUCAUUCUUUAGUUUAAAUUAGUUAGUAAUUAUACGAUAGUAGAGUAAUAACGAAGUCUCCUGGGAAACGAUAUCCGAUCUUACCAGUAUUACUACUUGAGCGAUUUGGUACACUUACCAAAGUCUCAACAAGUUUUUAGCGCCAGAGACAAAGCUUUGGUAUUAUGUGUUAAAGUCGUCUGUAAGUACUACGCACGGGUUAUCCCACCUCGUAUAAUAAACUAAAUUAAAAAUGUGCCGAUUCUCCAAAUAGGUAAGAAAAAACCUAUAAUUCAUACCAUGACAAAUGGCCCAGUCUAAUUUCUUUACCCAAUAGAACCGAUUACUGUAUUUAUAUAUAAAUAUUAAACACAUAAAACAUUUUUAUAUUUCCUCUAAUAUUUCUAUUUUAACGUUUUCUUUCAACUGUUUUAUUAACUAAUUGAAAUCUUAAUUUUAAAUUUAUUGUUCCGAAUUGAAAGAUACAGUUAGAAUUUGAAAUUCUGUGAAACAUAAAAAAGUUGAAUGACUCCGAUAUAACUUUUAAAAUAUAUAAUUUUACCCAUUAAAUUAUAUUCUCUAUGGCCAAAGGUGAUAUUAAUUAUGGUAUCAAACUAGCAUGAGGUGGCUACUUAUACUUUUCAUAACAUAGCACACACACGUAGUCAUUCACAGUAAUUGCUGUACUUCAAUUUCACACAGACCACAACUUCUAAGCAUUGGAAAUGGAGUUGAAGAGGAAGUGGGCUAGAAAGUAAAGAAUUUGUACGUUAUACGGCGCCAAUUAAGAGGGUGCCAACUUCUUCCUCAUCCUCUCUUAUAAAACAGUAUGCAUUUCCACUGAUUUUCUCAUCCUUUAUUAGCAGAUAAUCCCGUUUGAGUAUAUGUAUCAUAUAUAGUUUACCCUAGAAAGAUCGAUGGGUUCGAAGACAAAGAUAGCGUUACUUAUCCCAGGUCUGUUGGCCAUGUUCAUUUCGAUUUCCCCAAAGGUGGCAAUGGCAGCUAGGAAUUUUGAAGAGGGUGAGCUAUAUAUCAUUUUGCCUCAAAGUGUGUGUAUGUAUUUGCGAAAUUCAUUUUUCUGUUUAACAUGGUUGGUUGACUUAAGUUAGUGCUUGCAGGAAAAUUUGUUGAAGAGAGAAAUGAAGCGGGUGAUGGCAGAUUAGUAAAUGAUGUUAAAAUACCAGACAUAGGUAAUAGAGGUUUUGGUGGCAUUACAGGCACUGGCAUCCCAGGCACUGUUGAUAUAAUCCCAGGCAUUCUCAGUAGCAUCUCAGGAAUAUUCCCAGAUAUUAUCGGUUUCAUCCCAGGUAUUACCGGUGGCAUCUCAGGUAUCAUCCCAGGUAUUGUUGGUGCCAUCCCAGGUAGUAAUGGUUUCCUCCCUGGUAGCGGCAGCAGUGGCAUCCCAGGCAUCGGCAGCGGUGGCAUCCCAGGUAUCAGUGGUGGCAUCGGAGGCAUCAGAGGUGGCAUCCCAGGAAUCGGUGGUGGCAUCUAUAGUGGUGGCUAUCCAGGUCAAAGAGGAUAUAGAGGAGGAUUUCGUUGCCCUUAUGGCUGUUGUGCUUGGACCAAUGGAUAUUGCACAAGUUGCUGCACAAUAUGAGGAUUUCACCUCUACUUUUUUUUUUUCUUUAAUCAACUAAAUAAAUCUCUUUUAACAUUUGAUAACUUUUUCACAACUCAUAAUUUAUGAUUGGUUCGUUUCAAAUAUUUUUUUAAAAUAAAUUUAUACAUACCAAUAAAAUAGUAACACGUAUUUUGUUGUCAAAAAAUUGUUAAAAAAGAACUAUUAAAAUAUCAUUGUCGUUUAUAUAAUGUGCAGUUCUACGUACUUCAUUUUCUAUAAUUUCUUGUUGUGUGCUAGAGGCAUGAUGGAGAAGAAAGAGGCUUGUGUUUUCCUCUUAACCUUUCUUAUCAUAUGGGUAUUUCAAAUUAAAAUCAUGUUUAAUAAUUUGUAGUUUGUGACUUUACUUCUAUUAUGAGUUUGUCUUUUUCUCUACAAUUAUCAUGUCAUUAUAUUCUAUUUAAUUAUAGAACAUUGCAACCCAAAGCUUAAUUGAACAAGUUGAUUGAAUAAGUUCAUAACCUAACAAACCUUUUAAUCUUUGUAUAUAGAUGCUCGGAAAAUAAAAAAAUUAAGCCUCAUUGUAUAAUAUUUAUUUUUACAUUUUUUAAAAUAAAAUACAAAAUAAACUUUUUGAGUCCCUUUAUAAAUUAAAAUAUUAUUGGGGAUGGAGAUAACAGCUACCUCUGUUACUUGUCCUAGUCGAGAGAAGAUUCAAACCGAGAAACCGAAAUGAUCUGAGGUGUGUAUAGUACAUCCUUGACUUUCCGAUUGAUAUACAAUAUGGUUAAUAAAUUUUUAAAAUUUGAAUGAUUAUAAGCAUCAAGAAUAUAAUGUUGGAGUUGGAACUUUAAAUUAAUAUUCUCUUAUCAAAAAGUUUAAGAAAUGAUUUAUCAUAAUCCAAUAAAAAAUUUAGUGAUGAAAUUGUUAAAAUAAAAAUAAAAUAAUUAAAUCACAAUCAAAAAAUAAAUUAGUUUUUUCUAUAUUCAUAAAAACUGAAUAUAUGAAGCUCAUAAAAUGAAAAAGAAAUAUUGACUAAUAAAUUAAUAUUUCACUAUUAAAGUGAGAUAAUUUGUUUUCGUUGAGAAUAAAAAAGAGAAAAUGAAAAAUUAAAACAGAAAUAGUAAAUUUGUAUGUAAUUUUUUUUUUUAAUUUCAUAACAAUAAGAAAACACGUAAAAAUGAUAUCGACAAAUACAAAAAAAAAUUAAAAAAAAAAUUAAUAAAUAUUUUUAGUUUUUAUUAUAUUUAUUUUAUGUUUCAUUAUUUAUUAGUAUCUUAUAAAAGAAUUCAAAGAUAUCUAAUUUAAUUUUAAUCAAUUCUCGAUAUAUAAUACAUAAUAUAAAAUUUUAAAAAAAGUUUUAAAAUUUUAAAUAUAAAAUUAAAAGUUUUCAAAAAAUAAAUUUGUGGUUGAUGGAGAGGGCAUGACAACCAUGGUCCUUAAAAAGACCUUAUGUAUGAAAUAAUUAUUUUAUGUUUUUAGUUUCUUAAAUAUAAGUGAAAAUUAAAAUUAGUUUUCUUUUAAAUAUUUAAACUAAUUUAAUUCUUUAGAAAUAUAUACAUUAAGUUAUUUUAAUUAAAUUUUAUUGAAUUUAUUUAAUGUUUCAAAAUUGAAAAGAACAAAAAUAUAUAUACUGUAAAUAAAUUAUACGUUAUUAUAAAAUAUGUUUAAAAUCUUAAAUAAAUCUAAUAAAAUUUAAUAAAAAAAUAAAAAUUUACAUAUUUUUAAAGUAAAUAAAAAAAGAGUAAGUUAAAGUUUUAAAGAUGAAAUAAAGUUAAAAGACCUUAUAAUUUUAUAAAACUGAUAUUUGGAGGUUUAAAUUGAAAUGAGUGGCUUUAUCAUAUUUAUGGUGACAAAGACAAUAGAUCAAAUCAAGUAUGAAUAAUUCAUCACUUUAAUAAAAUAUGUUUCACUAGUUAUUACAUGCAUGAAUUGUAACCUGAUAUCUGUAAGUUUUUUUAUUAUACUUGCAGGUAGGAAGGUAUUCAUGAUACCUGUGAUAUUUUUAUAUUUUAUUUUUUAAAAUUUUAAAUAAAUUAUUUAAAAAUAAAUCUUUAAAAUAUAAAUUUAAAUAAAAAAUAAUUUAUAAGUAUAAUUUAAAUUAAAUUACUCAAUAAAAUAUUAAAACAAAUAAAUUUAAUCUUUUUAUAAAGUAAAUUUAAAUGAAUUUUAAUAAUUAUUUUUUAUAAAAUAAUCUCAAUUUCAUGUUUAAAUAAACAAUAGAAAUAUAUAAAAUCAACUAUUCAUUGAUUAAUAUUUAUUUUAUUAAUAAUUUUAUUUUAAUUAAUUGAAUUUAAAAAAUAUGUAAAUAAAAUAUAUUAAUAAUUAUUAGUAGAAAGUAAAUAUUCUAGGAUGGGUCAAUAUUAUCCAUCCAAUUAACAAAGGGAUAAUUAAGUAUAUGUUAUAGUUGUAUAUCCAUGUAUCCAUCCAUUAAAAAUAUCAAUUUAUUAUUGGUUCCUAAUUUUUUUAAUCCCUAUAAUAUUGCUUAAUAAAUUGGCAUUUGUUCUCAGUUCCAACAUGUCCAAAAUCAUUUGACCUUUUUCAUAGAUCCAAUAAUUUUUUAUUUAAAAUUUCUUCUAGAAAAACUAGUUAUGAUAAAUAAAGACUCCAUUCUUUAGUAAUUUUUUUUAAUCUAAAAAGAAUAUAAUAGGUAGAGAUUUUUAAUCUUGUAUAUCUUUAUUUUUCUUUAAAAUACUCAAUCAACUUCAAAUUGAUUUUUAGAAAAGAUUAUGUCAUCCACAUGCAACGAAAGAAUAAAAAAAUAGUUAUACGUUGUUUGACAUACUUUAGAAAUAACUAUGAAAUUGUUGGAAUAUCGAUAUGUUCAUUCCAGCUCUUUUAUCAUGAAUCUAAUUCAAAUCAACAUCAAACAUCAAACAAUGAAUGGUAUAUCCCAAAAAUAAGAAGAAGGGUUGAGUAUGGUAUCAGAAAUGCUAACUUUUUUGGAGAAACCUAACUUAUUAUAUAGGCUGAAUUGGCAAGUUCGAAAUUUAUUGCAACUAAACAGAAAAAUGAGAAAACAACCUUUCAAGUACUGCAAAUUUGAAAGGAUAGCAAAAUAGGAAGGUUUAGUGAUUUGGAGGGAUGAACUGAGAAGCUUGGUGGAUAGCAAAAUACUCAUAAAUUAGGUUGCAAUAAGUGGACAGAGAGUGAGAAAAUUAUGGCUAUAUAGAAUUAUGAAAGAAAGAAAUUAUAAGUUCAACUCUUCCAUUAAUAUUAUAGUACUAAUUAAUAUUUGUUGAUAAAAAAAAAUCUAUAUUAAUGAAUUAUGUAAGUAAUAAAAAUCUUGAUAAUAAAAACCAAUUUAAAAUCUAAUUCAUAAUUAAUUAUAAUUUAUUAAUGAUAAUCAUUAUUCAAAGAUUUCCUUAUAAUAUCAUUUUAUCAGUAAGGAACACGGGUAAAAUUUGUUAUAUAUUUGUUUUAAAUUAUCCAAAUAAGGUUUUUCUAUAAAUUAUAUGCAUUUUGCAAUGUUAUAUCAACUUAAAUAUUUCAAAAAGAAAUCAGUAAAAAUUAUUAUAGUAAGUAGUAACUUGAUUUUAUAAAGGAAAAUGAUAUUUUAACACUAUUUUUUGACACUAUUUUGACACUGCACACGUGUCAAAAUGUGAUUGGACGAUUUCAAAUUAAAAAAGUUGAGACAGGGGUAUGUUUGGAAGAAAAAAACCAAAGUUUGUUUUUUUAAUUUAAAAUUGUCCAACCACAUUUUGACACGUGUGCAGUGUCAAAAUAGUGUCAAAAAAUGGUGUUAAAAUUUUAUUUUCCUUUUAUAAAUUUUAUAGUUGAUUUCAUUUUCUAUCAUGCAUUUCUCAUUACAUUGAAACAAUAUUAAUGGUUUCAGAAUGACAUCACGGGAGGAGGUAUGAGAAAGUAAUUAAUUAGACCCACUCAACAACUGUUUUAAUAAUAUAAAAAUAUGUAUUAGCAUUAUAAAUUAAAAAAUAAUAAUUAAAAUAUUAAUAUUUUAGAAUUGUUAUGUAAGUGUUUUUAAGUGAGAGUUGUCAAUAUAUCAUCCUCAUGACCCAUAUAUACCCAUGUUAACUUUCCGUGUUAACCUUUGAUGCUUGUAACGAUGGCGAUGCAAGCUUAAGUUUAGAUAUGCAAUCGCUCCACAUUUUACUAUUUCAUUACAGAAUUACGUUUAUACAAGCAUAACGAAUGCUAGCUACUUGAGAAAAUUAUGAAGAAAAGUGCAAAUUUUGAGCUUGUUGGAGAAAACUGAAUUUAUUAUUAUUUAGACUACAUUGGCAAGAUGAUUGCUCAACACCAACAAUCUCCCUCCUUCCUAUUACUAUAUAUACGGCCACUUCCUCGCUAAUUUUCAAUUCAACAUCUCAUCACCGAACAUUUAUUUCUGAAAAAUGGUUUCUCGGGAAACCUUACUCUUCCUAGGCCUCUUGGCCAUGGCUUCUCUCAUACCCUCUCAUGGGACUGCUAGGAACCUUGCUCAGACUACCUCGAUGUCCUCUUCAAAGGGUCAGUUCUGCAUGCGUUUGCUUUCAAUAACUUUACUGAACUCAUGAUAAAACUUGUGUCUUGUUCCUCAAUCAUAGUUACUCUGCUUUCAUAUGAAAUAUAUAUGUGAUUCUGACAGUUGCUCAUGUUCUUCCAUGUAUUUGUAACUGAACUUGUUAUAGAUAAAAACCACAUCAAUGGUAUCAAAAAUGACGAAGACCAUGGAGGUAAUAGAUCUAACAGUGGAUCUGGUGAUUAUGGAGGUGACCAUAAAGGUGAUAAACCAGAUGAAAGACACGGUGAAAAUGGAGGAAACAAUGGAAGUAAUAGACCUGGAGAUGGACCCGGUGAUCAUGGAAGUGACCAUGGAAAUGAUAAACCAGGCAAGGAAAAUGGUGAUUAUGGAGGCAACCAUGGAGGUAAUAGACCUGGCGGUGGACCUGGUGAUUAUAGAGGCGACCAUGGAAGUGAUAAACCCGGCAAAGAACACGGUGAUUAUGGAGACAACCAUGGAAAUGAUAAAUCAGGCAAAGAACAUGGUGAUUAUGGAGGCAACCACAAAGGUGAUAAACCAGGUGGAGGACCCAAUCAUCAUGGACACGAUCGUAAAGGUGAUAAAUCAGGCAAAGGACACAAUGAUUAUAGAGGCAACCACAAAGGUUAUAGACCUGGCGGUGGACCCAGUAACUAUGGAGGCGAUCAUGGAGGUGAUAAACCAGGCGGAGGACCAGGUGAUCACGGAGCUGAUAAACCAGGCGGAGGACCCGGUGACUAUGGAGGCAACCAUGGAGGUGAUAAACCAGGCGGAGGACCAGGUGAUAAUGGAGGUGACCACAAAGGCAACGAUGAAGGAGAUAAACCAGGGGGUGGACCCGGUGACCAUGAUAAACCUGGAGGUGGUGGUGGAGUCGGUGACCAUGGAAGCAACCAUGAAGGUAAUAAACCAGGCAAUGGACCCGAUGGAGGCGACCAUCAAGGUGAUAAACCUGGAGACGACCAUGGAGGUGAUAAAUCCGGUGGGGGCGAAUCAAGAAAUGGUGGACUCAAUAAUUGUGGAGGUGGACUUAGAAAGGGUGUUUGUGGAGGUGGCCAUGUUGAUGGUUACAAUAGUGAAGCUCCUUGAAAUUUCGAUGACAAGCCUAAUGGUAAAUAGAAUGGAAAGCCUUGUGGACUUGGCAUUAAAAAUUAUCUAAAAGACCAUAAUUAGGUCAUUUACGAGCACGUUAUGUUAAUUCCGAGAGAGUAUGUUGCUAUCCUAUAUGAACACAAAGUAGUGGAAUGUUAUCCACCUAAUAGAAUAUUAUUUAACCCCACUAGUGCAGAUAAGAAAUACGACGAAUGUUGACAAUGGAUAUCGAUUCUACAAUAAAAUCAUAUUAAGACGGGGUAAAAAAAAUGGUUAUUUCCUUCCACGCAACACCAUUUCUACUAUAUCAUGUCCCUCCCACACAACACAUCUCCCAUCUCUCACGCACAACACUUUUGAACAAGAACCGAUUGCAGCACUGAAGUCCACCUUUGCCAGCGAGUGCGACGGACAUUCCAGCUCUUUAUUCAGAAAGUGAAGAAAAUGGUUAUUUUAAGCUUAAUUGAAAAGAUAAAUUCUACAAUUAAUUAAUUUCCACAAAUUUAAAAUAUUGUAGACUACUCAAUCUUAACAUUUAGUUUAUAUAUUGGAGCCUUCUUAGUUGAACGAUACUAAGAAACCUAAUCACCAAGGGCUAUUUGAUAUUUACUUCAUGUAAAAAAUGUUUAUAAGAAAACAUUUUGAAAUUCUAAAAACAUUUUUUUACGUUGUUAUGAUCUUUUGUUCUUGUUUUUUUUUUUAAAAAAAAAAAAAGAAAACACAGGGUGCAUUAAUUUACCCUAGUGAAGUUCGUCAUUGGUUCUAUAAAUAGAAAAUCAACAUCAGUCUACAAAUUUUCUUAUCAUGAAUCUAAAUUCACAUACAUAGAACCGUCAACAUCAAACAUGCUACAUCCCAAAAAUAAUAAUAGUGCCCUAUUUUUGCGAUUCUCAAAUAGAGAGAGAAAGAGGGAGAGAAGAAAGAUGUUGUCGACGUUGAUGAUGUUCUCAUUCACACUAUUACGUCGACACCAUGAGAAACUUGCAAAGGUGUGACCAGGGGUACGUUGGAGAAGCUGAAAUGUGAACAUUAUAGAAGAAAAUCUCGCCAGUAGUGUUGGUGGCCUGUCUUAUCUUGGUCGAAGGCAAAGGGCAGUGGCUGCGAGGCCUUAGGUUGCAAUUGUGGUGGGUUGCAUAUGAGAGAAGAUGACGAAAGGGAUAUAUGCUGAUAUUGAAUGCAAGAUUUGGACAAAAAAUUUGUUGAUCAUUUUAUCGAUAGAUUUGUCGGUCGGUAAUAAGUUAUGUAAUUAUCAACGAAUUAUUUCAUCAGUAAUACAUAUUUAUUUAUCGACCAAUUUUUUUUGUAAGUAAAUGAAAUAUGUAUUAUUAAAAAUUUAUUGACGAAUUUUUUCAUUAAUAAUAAAUCUAUUAAUAAAAUUUAUAAGUAAUUAAAAUUUCAAAAUUCGUAUGUAAAUUUAUCAAUGGAUCUAUUUCCAUUAAUAAAAUUUCGCCAAUUCCAUGAAUUUUUGUAGGUGUAUGACUAUAACAACAAUAAACCAAUGACAAAGUCUUAUAUGUUUUUACCGUGUCUAAUACUAAGUCUAUUUAAUCUCAAGGCUUCCACUGAUGUUUAUUUAGAGUCUUUGAUUGAUGAUUUGAAUAAGUUGUAGAGUGGUAUUUGAAUGUAUAAUGUUUUAAGGAAGCAAAAUUUUCUUAUGAGAGUAACUUUGAUGUGAACUAUUAAUGACUUUUCUACAUAUGAGAUGUUAUCUGAUUGGAGCACAUAUGGUAUAUUAAUUUGUUUGCAUUACAUGAGCACAUUAAAGCAUUCACAUUAAAUUAUGAUCGAAAAAGUUGUUGGUUUGACUAUCAUCGCAGGUUUUUGUCCAUUGAUCACCUGUUUAGGAGAAACAAUAAGGAACCAUCUAGUAACAACAACAAGACCUACAUAUGAGAUGUUAUCUGAUUGGAGCAUAUAUGGUAGAUUAGUUUGUCUGCAUUACAUGAGCACACUAAAGCAUUCACAUUAAAUUAUGAUCGAAAAAGUUGUUGGUUUGACUAUCAUCAUAGGUUUUUGUCCACUGAUCAUCUAUUUAGGAGAAACAAUAAGGAACUAUCCAGUAACAACAACAAGAUCCUGAAAAAGAAACAGAUAGAUAUGUAGAUUAUUAAGACUUUGUUACUUAUAGACAUACAUUUAAAAAUUCUUUGUUUGUUUGAAUUACCAUAUAAAUAAGUUUGAGAUGUUUGUCUGAUAUUAUACAAUGUUUGUUUAGAUUUUAUUGUAUGGUUGGUAUUAUCAAUUUUAUAUCUUUUUAAUGUUUAUGUUCAAUAUGUUUGUUUGGUAAGCAUGAAAUACAAAUGAAUGUACUAAAAGUUGUUAUGGCAUUUAUUAACGAAAUUUAUUAAUGGAUAAAUCUCUCGGUAAUGUUUUAUACUUUGGUCAAUACUAAUAGAUAUAUCUCUUGGUUAAUUUUACCAACAACAUCUUUACCGAAGAAUUUUUGUAGUUUUUAAUAGAUAUUGAUUAUUAAUAAAAAAAUAGUUUUUUUUAGCGAAUUAAUGUGUGUUGGAAGGUAUCUGACCCACAAAAUAUUUAAAAAAUAUUACUGUAUAAGUUUAACGUGAGAUUUUAUUACAUCUGACGUAUGAUUGGUGACGUUGAAAACUCUUCUUGUUUUAAUUAUUUAGAAAGAUGAAAUUUUAACACUUUUAAAUACAAUUUUUUUUUGUUUAAAAUUUUGAGUUUAGUAAAUAUUGAUUACUACAUUUUCUAAAAAUACAAUUUGAGUCAUACAUAUUCAUAUCAAUAGUUUCGUCACGAACAUGUCUAGUUUGACUUUAAAAGCGACUUGUUAGCUGCAUUUUAGUGAAACGGAUUUUUUUUCUUUUUGGAAUUUAUAUUUUGAAACCUAAAACUGUCAAAUAAAAAUGGAUAUUAUUUUUGUACAAUUCUUGUACAUAUUCUUAAUGAAGGUUAUUUCAUGUUCAAAACUACAGAAAUUGAUAGUUUACAAACUUUAUGAUAAACAUUUAAUGAACUAUUGAAAGUUUUGUUUUUAUUCUUAUAAUUUAUAUAAAAGAAACUAAAGAGACUGAAUUAAGUUUCGUUUAUAUUUAUUAGUCAGUUAAAGAAACUCCAAGAUGAAGCAAGUAGGCAUUUUCAAAGAUGAAUGACGACAAAAGAAAAUAAUCGUAGUUGGAAAUACUUCCACAAGAAGGAUAGUAUACCAAUGUGAAAGGAAAACUCACUCUUAUUUUAAAUAUAAAAGUUUUUUUUUAUAACGAUUUUACAUUUAUGUUAUAUGUUAAAUGAAUGUAAAAAUAUGUCAUUAUAUCAUUAUUCUUAAUGAAUACAUAUACAAUGAAUACACAUAUUCAAGCUAUCACAAAAUAGUUCUCAUAAAGUGAUAUUCUUAAUUACAUUUAUUUGACAAAGUAUAAAAAAAAUGAUAAUAAAGAAAUAAACUUUUUAAAUUUAUAUUUUUUCAAAAAAAAAGAAAAUAAAAAUAAUAAAAGAUAAUAUAAAAAUUUAUGUAUGUCAAAAAUAUAUUUUUUAUCAUAAAAACAUUAAAUCAAGGUGGAAAUGAAAUGUUAUACUUAAUGAGGAAAUGUUAUAUUUAAGAGUAAUAAUAACAUGACACACUUUUACAUUCAUUUCACAUACUAUAAGGAUAAAAUGAAUGUAAAAAAUUUAAGUGUGUCAAAAAAUCAUUUUUCUAUACUUAAGAAUAGUAAUAUCAUGACACACUCUUACAUUCAUUUGAUUGAGAGUAUAAAGAUAAAAUAGUAGUGUAAACUUUUGUAAAAGAAGAAGGACAAUGAUAUUUUGACAACUCUUUUUAACAAUUUUUUGACAAAAGAAUACGUGUCAUCAUUUUAUUGGUAUGUUUGAAUUUAUGUUUAAAAAAAUAUUUGAAACGGACCAAUCAUAGAUUGUCACGUAUACGUUGUCAAAAAAUUGUCAAAAAAUAGUUGUUAAAGAGACUUUCUCCAAAGAAGAAAGUUUCCAACCUGACGUGGCAGAAGACACUAAAUGUGAAACUGAUUCUUAGUUAGAAGACAACUUGAAUUUCAAUGUAGGUAAACAUUUUACUUGGACUUUGUUCACUUGAAUGAAUUUGGGGAGAGUGAUUGAAUGAAUUUGAGAUGAUUUGAAAAUAAUAUUUUUGUUGUUUAUUUAAGUGGAUUUAGAGGUAAUUAAGAGUUGAUUUGGAAGUAAAUUUUUUAAUCUAUCAUAUAAAUUAAAUCCUACAUUAUUUCUCACAUUCUUUACUUUUAAAUCUAUUCUCACUUACCUCCGAAUAUACUCAAAUAAAUGAAAAAUAAAAGUUAGCUUUAAAUCGAUUCCAUCAUUAUCUUUAAAUCUAUUCAAGUAAACAAGACAUUAAUGAUAUUCAACCUAGGAGAUGAGGUAACAGUUUAGAAUAGCAGGUUUUCAUGGCAUAGUUAGAGAAGGCCUGAAAGUUCGCGAAAAAGAGGCAAAGAUAUUAAUGUUGCUAUUCAGAUGUGGUCCUGCUCACUCACUCGCAUGCAACUUUUUAUAUUUUUCUUGCACUAUAUAUAGGGUUUUCCCUGACCCCUCCUUUCAUCCUUCUCAAGUAUUGUUAUGGUUAGUAACAAAAUGAAUCUCAAGCCUUUUAUUCUGCUGUGUUCUCUGUACGCGGUGGUUGUCAUCGCUGCGGUUGUGGCUGAUGAUCCACCUCGAGAAGAGGGAAAUGGUACGUCGCUCUCAAAAAGCUUUAUUUUAGUAUCGAUAAUGCACUUUAUUUUUUCGUCAAUAUAGUACUCUAUGUUUGUGAUGCCAUAAGAUUAAUCAAAGUUUAGAAGUGCAUUCCUAUUUACAAUUAUUUGGUGCAUGAAAUGCAUGUAAAAUUGACGUGUGUUUUUUUAAACCUUUGCUGGUGAAGCUUCAGGAAUGAGUGGAAAUGACGAGAAAUUUACUGGAAGCGAUGACGAGCAGGGACUCUGUGAGUAUUUCCUUUUGUUUUCUUUUACUUUUGUAUUAGUCAGUUGGAAUAUUUGGAAAUCAUGGCAAUUUGAGGAAAUAAACAUGAUAUAUUAAUCCUAAACCUGGCGAUUUUGCAGUUUUUAGCGGUAGGAAACUCGUGUCAAAUUAUGGUACCGAUCAUUGUAAAGGAAAUGGAGGAAAAGGAGGUGGCGGAUAUGGUGGUGGUGGAUCUGGCGGUGGCCAAGGAGGUAAUCCAGGAGGUGGUGGUUGUAGUGGUGGAUGCCCAGGAAGUGGUGGUAGUGCUGGAGGUGGUGGCGGUGGUGGCAGUGGAAGAGGGGGAGGAGUUGGGGGAGGUGGUGGAGGUGGAGGAGGUGGGGGAGGUGGGGGAGGUUGGGGAGGUGGGAGAGGUGGGAGAGGUUGGGGAGGUGGUGGAGGUUGGGGAGGUGGUGGAAGCCAAGGCGGCGGUGGCAGUGGAAGAGGAGGUUGUGGAAGCCAUGGAGGAGGAGGCAUGGGAGGUGGCGGUAGUGGAAACGGAUGUGGUAAAGGAGGAAAAGGUGGCGAAGAAGGAGGAGGAGGAUAUUGAAAGAGUAAUGAGAUGCAGAAUAAAGGAGAAUGAGGUGUUGGUGCAUAUGAAACCAAAGUCCAGAGUUAGACAACAACUUAGUUCUUUCUCGAACUUAAAUGUAGCUUUCAAUGUGAUAAUUGGUUUCAUUCUCCCCCAUUCUUGUAAUAUUUUAACUUCAUAUUGAAUCAAUAUAAUAUAUAUUUAUACAAGGAAUCCAUGCUUUUCACCUAAUUUAAAACUGAACGAAAUAUGGAAGAAAAUGAAAUUUGAAAAUAGAGAAACUGAACUUGUUGGCCACAGCUUAAUAUUGAGAAAAACUUAAGUGAUUAUUUUGAAUUAAGCAUAUACAAGAACGAGACUUGUUCUAGUUUCAUUUCUCUUCAUUCUUAUGAUGUCAUAAAUUGGUGAGAUACGAUUGUGCCAGUUAUCUGUAAUUGUAGCAAUGUUUAAUGAAAUCCCUACCCUUUCAAAGUUUAACCAAAUAUAGGUUUAAAACUUUGUAAUAAAGUCUCUUGCUGCAAGCUAACAUCACUGACAACUGUUGUUACAAUAUGUCAAAUAAGAUCGAGAUAUUCAUAUGCAGUGAAUGAUUUAGAAUAGUUAGAUCAUAAUAUAAUAUGUGUAUGACUGGAUUGGUUGCGAAAGUUAAGAUUUUCAUAAAAUUAAUUUAAUUUCAUUUUAAUAAAGCAAAGUUAGUUUUAGCGUUAAAUAAAUCAAAUUUAAAAAAAAAAUUGCAAUAAUUAUUUUUUUGGUCAAUUACAUUAAUAACAUAAUCACUUAAUGUUAAAGCAAAACUAGAAGUAUGUUUUUUUCUGCGUUAAUCAAUUAAUAUGAAAGAUAAUCAAUUAAUCUAAUAAAAACUAAAACAUUGUUCUUGUUUCUAUAUUAAUUGAUUAAGUAAUUACAUAAUCACUUAAAUAAAUUACAUAAUUAAUUAAUUAGAACAAUUGUCUCAUUUUUUGAAAAAAAAUAUAUCUAUUUGAAUAAGUUUUUUUCAUAAUAUAUAAACUCAUGUCAUGAUAACUUGGAAAAGAGUGUUACAAUUGCAACAAUAUUCUUUGUUAAUCUAAAAGUAAUCAAAAUUAAGUAUUACUAAAAACUCUCUUACUUGACAUUAACAUUAAGUGAAAUUAUAAUAUCUUUACAACUUUUAGAUUUUUUUUUCUUGCAUUUUCUUUGUAAUUAUUUAUUUUGUAUUAUUUUCACUUUCUUGGGGAAAUAGGUUAAAAUAAUUUUGUAUAGUUACUUUAGUUUAUAAAUCUUAAAGGUUUUUCAAAAUUUUUGUAUAUAAGUGUAGAUAGAGAAAGAUUAUUUGACUGUGUAAUAUAUAUAUAUAUAUAUAUAUAUAUAUAUAUAUAUAUAUAUAUAUAUAUAUAAUAAAAGAUAAAACUCCUCUCCAUGUUACAUUGCGAAAAGUUGAAUAUACAUGACGAAUAACAUAUGUAUAUAGGAUAAUAGAUAAGCCUAAGAACAAUAGUUGACUUGUGAAAAGAAAAUUUGUUUAAUUAGUGUUUCCAUUACCUUGGUGACAACCUUUGAAUUUAUUGUAAUUAUAAUUGUCAUCUAAUGCAUAUCUCGUCUCGUGGUGGUCGAAAGAAUGUUCUGUCUCAAAGGAACUCACUGCAAGAACUAACCUAGUCAAUCACUCUUUACGUAAUUUUUAUUCUUAUCAUUUAUUAAAAAAUAAUAGUGUUAGAAAUUUAAUUUAUCAUUAUAUUUAAAUACAUUAUUAAUUUGUUAAAACUUUAAUUUAUAUUUAAAAUAUAACUAGAAUUGUAAUAUUUAUUAUUUAAAAUUAUUUAUUACCUGCAUAUAAAGUGUUUGAUUUGUGUCGUCCACAUUACAACUUCAUGCCCUUAUUUGAAAAUCUCUAUUUUGACUAUACGUUUAUGUAAGUCGAUAUAAAAGCCUGUUCAAAAUUUAUGUAAGAGGUGUAGUACACUUAGAAGAAAAAGAGAAGAUAAAGUUGAAUUCCCAAGUAAAAUUUUCAGAUAAAGUUAAAUUCAACAUAUCAGAAUUUUCAGAUAAAGAUAAAGUGGAGGAGUCCCCCAGAACUUGAAGCAGAACAUUUGAAACAUUAAUCAACCAAAAAUACAGCACGAAUAUCCAUUUAGUUUAAUGUUUGUAGAAAUUUUGUUAGAUAUUUUAAGCAACGAGUUUGCAGAUUCCCUUAGUCACUUGCCACUUGGCAUCUUGUGUUAGACUUGCUUACCUCAGUUUACACACUUGUCACAGUUUAACCCUUUAGUGGCUCAGUCCAUGUUGAUAAGGAUCAUUCACUCCAUUUUUUUCUGUGUCUUGAAGAGCUAUCAUUUACUUUCAGCUUCUUUUAUAUUCUUCCAUGAUCACUAUAAAUAGCUAUCAGAAACUACAUUCUUUGUAUAUAUCUCACAGUAACUCUUAACCUAGUAGCAAACAUGAAUACCAAAACCACUUUCUUCUUUUGCUUCCUCUGCACGUUGCUUCUCAUCUCUGCUAUGGCAACUCAGCCAUCUAAACAUGCUACAAUGGGUAAGUAUACUGCAUCUCUUCUUCCUCAUAUCACCAAGAACCACUCUUCUACCAAUUAAUCUGCAUCUUUCUUUCUUGUUAAUUCUAUUAAAAUUUAAAAAUAUACGUGUUGUUAUAAAUUCAUUAGGUUUAAUAUUAUUAAAGAAAAUUGCUUUGCGUUAUAUUAAUUUGGACUUUAUCUCUCUUCUCUCAAUAUAUAAAUUUAAUGAUUAAAAAUUAUACUUUGAUGAUGAAAAUAUUGAUAGUAAAAGUUACACAUUUAAGUGAAAUUAAUUUGUUAAAUAUGAAAUCACAUUUUUAACUUUCACCAUCUAAAAUCUAUAAUGAUAAGAAGCUGAAAAUAAAUAUUAUUUUUAAAAGAUGCCACUAUAAGUGUAUAAAAAAAUUCAGGUACAUCUACAAAUAAUACGUUAUAUGAAAAGAUCAAAUUUUAUUUCAAGAAGAUGCGUUAUUUGAAAGCAAUAUUGAUAGUCAAACUAUUUAUAUUUUAAAAAAAAUUAAAAGUACUUAAAUAUCAUAUAGUAUAUAACAUUUAUUUGAAAACACAUUAAAUAAAUUUUUUAUUUAUUAUAUUGAGAGUGAAAUGUUAAAAAUAUUUGAUUAAAAAAAUAAAAAGUCAUUUAAAGAAAGCUUUGAAUAUAAAUUUCGUCUUACAUCUCAGAAUUUCUAAGCAUAGCCCUUGCAUGCAAUUAUGUUGUUUAAUUUAAAGACAUAGAAUGUAAGACACUUUUCUACAUAGUCUCUCUUAGGAUGCUAUAUCAUGAAUAUUAAUUAUCUAUCGUGUUACUGUAAAUUAGUGUUACGCUUAGUAGCUAUGCUCGUAAGUAUUAUAGAAAAAGAAGAAAAAAAAAUGAAAGAACCGAUAUUAUAUAUUAAAAUAUUUAAAAAUGUUUGUAUAUGCGUGUGCAUCAAAAGAAUCCGAGACAAAAGCAGGAUUAGAUGACUGGGGAAGAGAUGGUGGAGGACCCGGAGGAGGACCCAGAGGAGGCCCCGGAGGAGGACCCGGUGGAGGCCCCGGAGGAGGACCCAGAGGAGGACCCGGAGGAGGCCCCGGUGGAGGAGGACCCAGAGGAGGCCCCGGUGGAGGACCCAGAGGAGGCCCCGGUGGAGGACCCAGAGGAGGCCCCGGUGGAGGACCCGGUGGAGGACCCAGAGGAGGCCCCGGUGGAGGACCCGGUGGAGGACCCGGAGGAGGCCCCGGUGGCGGACCCAGAGGAGGCCACGGUGGAGGCCCCGGAGGAGGCCCCGGUGGAGGACCCGGAGGAGAUUAGGGACACGGCGGAGGUUGCGGAUGUGUGGUCAAAUAGGCUGCAAAUAACACGUGUAAUCCAUGUGAUGACUACUAUGUGAAAUAAGAAAUUAGAAAUAGAAGCAUGUAAUCUAUCUGUGCUAGGGUUACCCCUCGAUCAUCAUGCAUGUACUUGAAGCACGUCUUCUCAAUAUACCACCUUUUAAAAUAAUAAUAAAAUUAAAUAAAAAAAAAAGGAGUAGGCAUCAUUUAGAAUAAAUCCUCGCCUUUUAUAGAGUAUUUUCUACUUUUUAUGA